UCUCUACUCCUUCAGGGGUAGUGGUAUGGACUGCGUACAUUUUACCCUCCCCAGACCCCACUAUGUGGGAAUAUACUGGGUUUGUUGUUGUUGUUGUUGUUGAAAAAAAAAACAAUAUUAGACUUCACAACAAGGCAUUAUCACUCUUUAAAUCAGUUUACUCCUGUAAAAACGGAAUCUAAAAGCUAUAUUUCCACUACUUUACCAUAAUCAUCAAGCAAAUCAAUCUUCCUUCAGGAAUUAAAUACACAAAUUGACAGCAGAAUCUCAAAUAAUCUUCAAAAUGCAAAACACAAAAAAAGUGAAAGCAAAGAGGAAAUAGAAGGAGAAAGUAAAGCAUAUAUACGGAGCGAUUUCACGGCCAACACUUCAUGAAUACUUAUUAGUUUAAGCUAUUUGUCUACUAUUAGUUUAACCACUUAUAACGCGGAAUCUAAAAGCUAUAUCUCCACUACUUUGCUAUAACCAUUAAGCAAAUCAAUAUUCCUUGAGAAAUUACACAAAUUAGCAACAGAAUAUCAAAUAUUCUUCAAAAUGCAAAACACAAAAAAAAAUUGAAAACAAAGAGGAAAUAGAAGGAGAAAGUAAAGCCUAUCUACAGAGAGAUUUCACGGCCAACAUUUCCUUCAGGAAUACAAUUAGUUUAAGCUAUUUGUCAACUAUUAGUUUAAGCACUUAUAAUGUGGAAUCUAAAAGCUAUAUCUCCACUACACUACUUUACUAUGACCAUUAAGCAAAUCAAUAUUCCUUGAGAAAUUACACAAAUUAGCAACAGAAUCUCAAAUUUUCUUCAAAAUACAAAUACAAAAAGUGAAAGCAAAGAGUAAAUAGGAGAAAGUAAAGCACAUAUACGGAGCGAUUUCACGGCCAACACUUCCUUCAGGAAUACUAUUAGUUUAAGCUAUUUGUCUACUAUUAGUUUAAGUCGCUUAUAACGCGGAAUCUAGAAGCUAUAUCCCCACUACUUUACUAUAACCGUUACGCUAAUCAAUAUUCCUUGAUAAAUUCCACAAAUUAUCAACAGAACCUCAAAUUUUCUUCAAAAUACAAAUACAAAAAGUGAAAGCAAGGAGGAAUAAGAAGCAGAAAGCAAAGGCACAUAUACCGAGCAAUUUCACGGCCAAUACCGCUAGUAGAACCAGUAACGACACAAGUAAGGUCAUUGAUAGGAGGAAGAGGCAUAGGGUUGUGCAAAUGACUCGCUAAUAUCCUUUGAAAAAGCAUUUCGUAAACCAAAUAGAACCAGCCUCGCAGCCAUUCCAUCCAUCCUAAUGCCUCCUUCUUCAAUGGCGCCUUAGAUGCUUCACUCGCACUUGUAUUAUUCUUCUUCUUCGUCUCCAACUCAUUCGCCAUCUUUCCUUUUCUCGUUGAUUCUAAGCAAACAGAUUCUCUCCGCCUUUGUGGAGUUUCCCUUUCCUUCUCUAUUUCUUUAUACGUACUAGCUUUUUGGCAUUUUCUUUUUACGAGUAGCAUCGUGCUAUAGUACCCGUGCGUUAAAUUAUGGAGUAAGUAAUUAUGUGUCAUAUUUUGAUAGAACUCAAAAAUAUAUAAAAAAAAAAAUAAAGAUUUAAUCAUUUUUAUCAAAUUAGUUUUUAUUAAAAAAAUAUAAUACUGCUUAUUUUUAAUUAAGUAGAAUUUUAUAAAUAAAAUUAAUAAAGAUUAAAGUUAAAUUAUAUCUUUAAAUAGUUACUAAUUAAGAAAAGGUAAUAUUUUUCGAGAUGGACAAAAAGAAAACAGCGAUACAUAAAAUAGGAUAAAGAAAAUAUAUAUUUUUAACUUUAAUAUUAUAAAAUUAUAUAUAUUUUUCUAAAUUUCAUGUCAAGUCAAUAUUAAAGAAACAUAUAAAAAAUGAAAAAAGUAUAUUAUUUUUUUCCGUGAUUUUCGGGUAUCGCUUUGUGAAUCCGACUAGCUGUAUCCAUCGGGUCUCGCUGUUUCAAGGCGGGUCCACCACAGUUAAUUUCACGAGGCCCUAGAGAUGGAGCCGAUUUGUAAUGCCUCCAGUGGUCCUGCCGGGGCUCGAACUGAUAACCUGAAGAACUUUGUCCUCGUGCCUUUACCAGCCGAGCUACCCCUCAGGGUAUAUAUUUGGUUAUAAAAAUAGAAUGAAAUAAUCUUCACAUAAAUUACUUCAUUCUUUGGUUGAUUUUUCUCUUUUUCAUAUAAAAUAUAAUAUUAGAAAUUUACACAUUAUUUUAUAUAAAACAAAAGAUGAAAUAGCUAAAUUUUGUACAAUUAAUAAAUGCCUAAUUAAUUCAUGAAUUAAUAAGAUCUUAACUUUAAUCAAUAAUCUAGUGCCUUUAUAGAUCAUAGAUAGAUCAACCAUCCCUUUUUUAUUUGUUGUCAUCCACUUGUUAUGGGAUUUUGAAACAGUUUAGCUUCCUCCGCUUGUUUUUACUUGUCAUAAAAUUUUUAAUUGUUUUAUUUGUCAUUUUUGACGUAUCAAUACAAAACUUCUUUUUUUCUAUUUUUACCCUUUGUAUUAAUUAUUUUUUCUUCAAAUUAAUUUCAACACACAAUGUAAUAUCAUUUAAUAUGAAUAUUAUGGUAAAAUAACUACAUUAUUAAUUAUUUUUCUUAAUGGGUAUAUCAAGUCAAAUUAUGAAAAGUAAACGCAAGCGGAGGGGUGUAAAAUAACAAUUAAUAUAUGCCUAAUUUUGAAAUUUUGUAUAAUUAAUAUACGCCUAAUUAAUUCAUGAAUUAAUAAGAUGUUAACUUUAAUCAAUGACUAAUGCCCCUAUAAAUCAUAGAUUCGUUCAACCAUCCCUGUUUAAUUAUUGUCGACCCACGUGUUAUGAGAUUUUGAAAUUGUUUAGCACACCAUCCUUUUAUAAAAUAAUUUCCUUGGUUGUCUGAUGCUCACUAACAAUGCACAUACAAUAUUUUAAAAUUAAUUAAUUAUUGUUAUAAAAUAAAGAUAAAAUAUUAAUAUCAAACUUUAUUUAACAGAGGAUGAUAUGGAACAGUUUCAGCUUAUUGAGGACAUGACCCUAGAUAGGAAGGUAUAGAGGUCGCGGAUACGGGUAGAAGGCUAGAGCGCGUGCGGGGGUUGUAGCAAGUAGUUAGAAGAGCUAAUGUAUAUCCGAGUUAGUAAUUCUAGGACUGUAUCCAUAUGUAUGAGCCCCUAGUCAAGAGGGUUUGGGGGUGGCUGGUGUCUCUAGUUUGUGAGUGUAGGCUACUACUAGGUGGGUGUCGUUUUUCGGAUGCCCUAUUUCGUAUCUCUUAUUUUCAUAUUGCGCUUAUUUACCUUAGUUAGUAUUGCUCUAAUUUCUAUUUUAUUUUAUUUUAUUUUAGUAUAUCUUAUUACUUUUAUGCUAUGACAUCCAUCAUGUUUCAUGUGACAUUAUGCUUUUAUUUACUAUUCUCUAUCUUGAGCCGGGGGUCUAUCGAAAACAGCCUCUCUACUUCCUUGGAAGUAGCGGUAUGACCUGCGUACAUUUUACUCUCCCCAGACCCUACAUUGUGGAAAUACACUGAAUUUGUUGUUGUUGUUGUUGUUUAACAGAGGAGAGAACUAGAGAGAAUUUUAGUUGUAUAUUUGUUACUACUUAUGUAUAUAUAAAAUGUACAAAUGGUGCCUAUUUAUAGAUACCAUACUUAAUUUCUAAGAUCACCAAUCUUUUAGUUUCUAAGUACACCAAUCUUGACUUCAAGUUGGUAAGUUGAUCAAGUAUGUAUGAAUUCAAAUCCAAAUUGAAUACCAACUUUUAGUCUUCAAAUCCAACUUGAAUACCAAUUUUGGUCUUCAAAUCUAAUUUGAAUACCAACUAUUAUUUCUAAGAGAAAUUUUAAAGGAAAUAGGAUGUACAAUAACGGUUUGUAAUACGUUUUGUUUGCUGCCUCAUUAAAAACCUUAUCAGAAAAAUCCAGUGGGAUAAAACCUUGGUUAAGGAAAAAAGAGUGCAGUGCGUAUAUACUCCUCCUGAUAAGGCUAUCACUUAAUUUCUAGGAGACGACGCAUCCCAAUCUUGUAUCUCAACUUCUCAAAGGUUAAUGUUGGCAAUGCUUUAGUGAACAUAUCUGCUAGAUUAUCGCUUAAAUGAAUUUGUUGAACAUUUAUUUCGCCUUUCUUUUCAUGAUCAUGAGUGAAAUUUUUUUUUGGUGAAAUGUAUUUUGUUCUGUCUCCUUUAAUGUAACCUCUCUUAAAUUGAGUUAUACAUACAUCAUUAUCUUCAUACAAUGUAGUUGGAAUAUCUUUAUUCGAAGGAAAUCCGCACAUUUCCUGAAUAUGUUGAGUCAUUGAUCUCAACCAAACACACUCUCGGUUCACUUUAUGAAUGGCAAUGAUUUCUGCAUGAUUUGAAGAAGUUGCAGCUAAUGUUUGCUUCAUUGAACGCCAUGAUAUAGCUGUGCCACCAUAUGUAAAUAAAUAACCCGUUUGAGAUCGAGCGUUAUGUGGAUCAAAUAAGUAUCCUACAUCUGCAUAACCAAUCAUUUCUAACUUGGAUUCAUUUGAAUAAAAUAAUCCCAAGUCAAUAGUUGCCCGAAGAUAUUUGAGUAUGUGCUUGACACCAUUUCAAUAUCUUUUAGUUGGGGAAGAGUUGAAUCUUGCCAAUAAACUUAACGUAAAAUAAAUAUCUGGUCGAGUAUUAUUGGCAAGAUAUAUUAGUGCCCCGAUCGCACUAAGAUAUGGAGUUUCAUCACCAAGAAGUUUUUCAUCUUUUCCUUGAGCUCAAAAUGGAUCUUGGUUUACUUCAAGCGAUCUCACAACCAUUAGGGUAUUCAAUGGAUGUGAUUUAUCCAUGUAAAAUCUCUUUAAAAUCUUUUCAGUGUAUGUUGAUUGAUGAACAAAAAUUUCAUUUGUCAAAUGCUCAAUCUGUAGGCCGAGACAAAAUUUUGUCUUUCCUAGAUCUUUCAUUUCAAAUUCUUUCUUCAAACACUCAACAACUUUUGAAAGCUCUUUGGGAGUGUCAAUGAUAUUCAAAUCAUCAACAUAAACAGCUAUUAUAGUAGAUUCAGAUUCAGACCUUCUUAUAAAAACACAAGGACAAAUCGGAUCAUUUUUGUACCCGUCUUUUAACAAAUAUUCACUAAGACGAUUAUACCACAUCCGUCCUGAUUGUUUCAAUCCAUAUAAGGAUUUUUGAAACUUUAUUGAGCAAGUUUCUUGCGAAUUUUUAUAUGUUUUAGAUACUUUGAAGGCCUUUGGAAUUUUCAUAAAAAUACUGUUGUCCAAUGAGCCAUACAAAUAGGCCGUGACAACAUCCAUUAGGCGCAUAUCAAGCUUUUCAUGAACUGCUAGAUUUAUUAUAUAUCUAAAGGUAAUUCCAUCCAUCACAGGAGAAUAUGUCUCUGCAUAGUCAAUGUCAGGCCUUUGCGAAAAACCUUGUGCCACAAGUCGUGCUUUAUAUCUUACGACUUCACCAUUUUUAUUUUACUUUCACACAAAAACCCAUUCAUACUUCACUGGCUUGACACCUUCAGGUGUUCGAACUAUUGAUCCAAAAAAUUCACAUUUUUCAAGUGAAGUUAAUUCCGCUUGGAUUGCAUCCUUUCAUUUUGGCCAAUCAUUUCUCUGUCUACAUUCAUUGACAAAUAUUGGUUCCAAAUCCUCAUCUUGUUGCAUUAUUUCAGUAGCAACAUUAUAAGCAAAAAUAUUGUCAACCACAAUAUUAUUUUGAUUCCAGCUAUUUCUCAUCGAGACAUAACUUAUUGAGAUUUUAUUCUCAUUAGUUUCAGGUAUUUUAACCUCCUCAGUGGUCUUAUCAUUUAUUAGAUCUUGAGGCUCCUUUUGAGCGACUGUCAUCAUACCGUGAUCAUUUUGAUCAUCUAUUUAUUUAUUUCGAGGAUUUUUAUCCUUGAAAUCGAUCUGUCUAAGACGUUUCAAACGUGGCUUAGAUUCAUUUGCAUUGACCACUUAUCGUAUCGGGACAUCAACUCGAACUGGAAUAUUCACAGAUGAAAUAUAAAAUUUAGUAACCCUUUGAAGGUUAGUAAAUACAUCCAGUAGUUGAUUUGCAACAUUUUGCAAGUAAAUCAUCUUUUGAACCUCUUGCUCACAUUGAUUUGUUCGAGGAUCCAAAUGAGAUUGUGAUAAUCCAUUCCAAUAUAUCCCAUGUUUCAGCUGCUUAUGUUCUCCCCCUAAUGUUGGGUAUACUGAUUCAUCAAAAUGACAGUCGGCAAAUCUUGCCGUAAAUAAAUCUCCUGUCAUAGGUUCCAAAUAUUUUAUAAUGGAAGGAGAUUCAUACCCAAAAUAUAUUCACAAUCUUCUUUGGGGUCCCAUCUUUGUGCGUUAUGGUAGAGCAAUUGAAACAUAUACCGCACAUCCAAAAAUUCUAAGAUGAGAAAUAUUUAGUUCUUAACCAAAAAUCAACUGUAAUGAGGAGAAUUUAUGAUAACUGGUUGGCCUUAUACGCACAAGUGUUGUUGCAUGCAAAAUAGCAUGUCCCCAUGUUGAAACAGGAAGUUUUGUCCUCAUUAACAUCGAUCUAGCUAUCAAUUGAAGACGUUUGAUUAAUGAUUCUGCUAGACUAUUUUGAGUGUGAACAUGAGCAACCGGAUGUUCAAAUUUUAUUCCAGUUGACAUACAAUAAUCAUUAAAGGACUGAGAUAUAAACUGAUCAGCGUUAUCAAGAGGAACCGUCUUUAUUGCAUAAUCUGAAAAUUAUGCUCUUAACCUUAUUAUUGAGCCAACAAUCUCGUAAAAGCCAUAUUGUGAGUUAAUAAUAAGCACACAUGUGACCAUCUUGUAGAUGCAUCUAUCAAGACCAUAUAAUAUUUGAAAGGUUCACACGAAGGGUGAAUUGGUCCACAUAUAUUACCCUGCAUACGUUCUAGAAAUGCAGGGGAUUCAAUCCUAACCUUAGUUGUUGAUGGUUUAAUAAUCCACUUUCCUUAAGAAUAAGCAGCACAAUAGUAUUCAUUUGAUUAAAGAAUCAGUAUGCCCAUGUGAAUUUUCGAUAAUUCUGUGCAUCAUAUUAAAAUCGGGAUGGCCCAAUCGAUCAUGCCAAAUGAUAAAAUUAUUACGAUCUGUAAAUCUUUUAUUUACUAUGGUAUAUGAUUCAACCAUACAAAUACUUGUAUGAUACAAUCCAGAAGAAAGUGCAGGUAGUUUUUCAUGCACAAAUUUUUCUCUAUCUUUUAUUGUAGUAAUAUGAAGACAUUCAAUCUUUCCUUCAUUUGUAGUAUCAAUGUAAUAGCCAUUUUCGUGAAUAACCUUGAAACUUAACAAGUUUCUUUGAGACUUACUACAAUAUAAUGCAUUAUCAAUGACCAAUAUUGUUUCCCUGGGUAGUAAUAAGGGCGCUCUUCCAGAAUCUUCAAUUAACUUUGUACUAUCGGAUAUUGUAUUAAUAGAAGCCAUUUUCAUAAUCAAAUUAGAGAAAUAUUUCUUUUCUCUUAAUAUAGUGUGAGUUGUAGCACUGUCAAGGAGACACACAUCUCCAUUACUCAUCUUGGAUUCAGUUGAAGAUUGAAAAAUUUUAUUAUCUUCACAAAAUAAAAAUACAUGAUAAGGAAAGUGAACUUUCAUAAUCUUAAAUAAUUAUUAUUUUCUCUUGAAAAGUAAAAACAACAUAAUGGAAAACAUGCCAAAAAACAACAUAAUGAAAGAAUAUUAUUUAUUUUCCCAAUAACUUGAUCAAGAUUUAGUUUUGGUCACCAAAGAAGUCUUCAGGUUCCAAAUGAGUUAUAUCAUUAAGGCCAUCAAAAUCAUCUUCUUUCAAGAUCAAGUUUGCCUCAACAUUGUCAGCAUAUUUUUAUGAAGGUCAUGCCUCAUCAUCAUUUUUGAAAGUUAAAUGUGACUCCAUUCGGGUAUUAGAUGAGGUCCCACCUUCAUUUCUCUUUCUUUUGCAAGAUUCUUGAUGAAGCCUGGCAAAAUGCUUAGGCACCCGACAUUCAUUUUUUCAGUAGUCUUUCAUUCCACAGCGAUGACAAUUACCUCUUGAAGGAUUGUUUUGGGGACCCAUUUGGUUCUCCCUUCUUUGAUUACCACUACCACGACGAUUACUAUAUCGCCCCUUGCCAUUGCCACGUCCACGCAUAUUAUUAUGACCUCGAUCUUGCCGUCUUUCAGGCUGGCCAUGCACUUGUACCACAUUUGCUUCCGGUAGUGGAGCAGUUCCAGUGGAACGGUUUUCAUGAUUUUUCAUCAAAAGGGCAUUAUGCUGCUUUAACUACUAGAAGGCAUGAGAUUAAUUCAGAAUACUUCUGAAAGCCCUUUUCACGGUAUUACUGCUGCAACAUCACAUUUGAGGCAUGAAAAGUAGUUAGUGUUUUUUCCAUCAUGUCCUCAUCAUUUAUAGUUUCCUCACAUAAUUUCAAUUGAGAAACAAUCUUGAUACAACAAAAUUAUAUUCAACAAUGGUUUUAAAGUCUUGAAACCAUAAGUGCAUCCACUCAUAACGAGCUCUGGGCAGUACCGUGACCUUUAGAUGGUCAUACCUUCCUUUCAAAUCAGUCCACAAUUCAAGUGGAUCUUUCACAGUAAGGUAUUCAACCUUCAGUCCUUCAUCCAGAUGAUGACGAAGGAAAACCAUAGCCUUGGCCUUGUUCCGACUCGACGUUGCAUUAUCCGGGAUAAUAGUAGCACUAAGAUCCUUAGCAGCUAGGUGAAUCUCAGCAUCGAGAACCCAUGAUAAGUAAUUUUUCCCGGAGAUGUCAAGUGUCACAAACUUAAGCUUCGACAAGUUUGACAUGAUGAAAACUAUCAUGAAAAUAAUGAAGUUAAGACAACAAUACAAUAACAUGAAAAUAUUUUUUCUUCAUGUAUAACUUUAACGUUAAAAAUAAAACUUUGAUAAAAGAAAUUUAACAAACUACAAUAUUCAAGACAAGUAAGUUGAAUAUACCUGAUGGAUUUAAAAUUUGAAAGAGGAUAGAGGCAUGUUGAUAACGUGUUAUAAAAUAAAGACAAAAUAUUAAUAUCAAACUUUGUUUAACAAAGAAGAGAACUAGAGAGAAUUUUAGUAGUAUAUUUGUUACUACUUCUUAUGUAUAUAUAAAAUGUACAAAUGGUGUCUAUUUAUAGAUACCAUACUUAGUUUUUAAGUACACCAUUUUGACUUCAAGUUGGUAAGUUUGUUAAGUAUGUAUUCAAAUCCAAAUUGAAUACCACCAUUUAGUCUUCAAAUCCGACUUGAAUACCAACUUUGGUCUUCAAAUCCAAUUUGAAUACCAACUAUUAUUUCUAAUAUUUAGUAUAUGAACAUCCACCAAAUACAUUAUUUACAAUAAUUAUCAUAUUGUGUAUUUAGUUGACUCUAUUCAUUUGCUUAGGUGAUCACGAACCUGAGCUAAUCACGUGUUUUAAGUUUUGAGAGGCGCAAUCUUACUGAUACACCAUCGAGUGCCAAUUUAUGUACAACAAAUACUUGGGUUGCUUUCACCAUUAUUUUAAAUUAGAAAAUUCAUCAUCAUAUUGAUGUAAUAUUUUAUGAAUAUAUAAAUUAAUUCUAAAUAUUAUAUCUAUCUAAUUCAAUUUAAAUUCAAAAAAUAGUCAAACUAACUCUCUAAAAGCAAAACAUGACAAAUAAAUUAAGACAGAGAAAACAUUGUAUUAUAUUUUUCUGAGAAGAAUAUUAUACCAUUUGAUUUAAAAUGAUGAACAUUGAUUUAUCACAUCUAGUGGUCAUCAGAGACAUUUUAAUUUUGUGGAAAGGUGCAGAUUUAUUUCCAAAAACUGCGUCUUGAAUAUUUUUCACACAUUUCCUUACAAAGUGAUUUCAAACAAAAAGUUGGGAUAGGCUGGGGAUUAAAGGAAAAGACAGAGAUUUGAUUCGCUUCCCCAAUAUCAGUGAGAAGGUCUUCCCCAAAUCUGUCACUCUAUAUCUAUAUAUUAUUAAAAGGAGAGGACAAAGCCUCUACAUCGAUCCAAAUGGCAAUCUUUAAGAUUGACACAUGUAUUUUUAUAAGAAAAAUCUAUAUAUUAUUAAAAGGAGAGGGCAAAGCCUCUACAUCAACCCAAAUGACAGUCUUUAAGAUUGAUACAUGUAUUUUUAUAGGAAAAAGUUAGUUAAUUAGUUAAGAAUUGGUUAGUAUUCAUUUUUAUCCUUUACAGUUUUUUUUCAAAUUCAAAUUUACAGUUUCUUUAAUUGUUAAUUAAGUUUUACACAAUAAAAAGACUUAAAAAAAUAGGAAUUUUGAAAUUGAAACUAUUCCACUAAUUAAGCCAAAUCGUAUUUAUGAGUUGAGGUUUUUGAGUUUAAAACAGAUUGCAACUUCUACUUAUGGUUCUACAAUUUCAACUUUCCUGUUUUCUUUUUUUAUAUUAUAUACAUAUUCCUUUCUAUAACUAUUAACCAAAUAAUUAUUUUCAACCAUUUUUAUGUUCUUAAAUUUGGAUCAAAUGUGAUUAUCAAAUAUCUUUGAAUAAGAACUAUGGUCAUAAACUUAUUGUUGCAUACGAAUCUGAUGAAUUUACUCGACAAUUUAUUCGGUGACUUCACAUCUUUCAGGUAACAAUUUAAUUUUUUCUCUAAUAUAUUUUGAAUCUAACUCUUAAUCUCUUAUCUUCAAUUUCAUACCAAGGAAGAAAAUUCUCAAUAUACACGUAUUAAAGUAGUGUUUCAACUACGUAGAUUUUAGAAACUAUGCGUUUAUAUGUUUUUUUUACCGUUUACAAGUAAAUAUUUCAGUACUCAAAUCAUUAUUUACAUGUCUUUGUGCACUUUAUUUUUUAAGCAUUAAUUUGAUAAUUGAAAUUCUUAGGUUUUAUCAAGUAAAACUAAUUGAAAUGGAGUAGUGAUAAAAGAAGAAAAUGAAUUUGCGCGAUAUUAUUGAAAGAUUAUAAUAAUUUUGAAAUUAUCGUUGUUAUUUUAGGAAUUAGAAAUUAUGAAUGAGAAGGUUUGAAAAGGGAAAGGAAUAAUAUAGCAUUAUUUUUGACUAUUUAUUACAUCUUAUCUAUCUAUUUAUAAAUCUAUUUUAUUUUCUUAUGUGUAUGAUAUCUUAAUGUUAUAUGUUUUAUACAUGAGAGAAGUAACAGAGAACGAGUUAAGUUAAAUCACAACACAAUGUAAUAAUACUAAUGUAUAAAUAAAAAAUAAAGAACAAUAAAGAAAAAAUAGAAACAAAAGAACAGCAUGAAACAAUAGAAGAACAAAACUUACUUAAAAUUAAGAUGAAAAAGAUAAACACCAUAUUAUUGAUAAGCGCAAUUUAAACUCAAAGUUGAUUAACUAUCAUUAUUUUAAGCCUAUACUGGAUUAAACAAAGAGGACAAUGUGACUUAAGGCCCGUUUGGAUAAGCUGAAAAAAAGUGGCUGAAAAGUGCUGAACUUAUUUUAAAAAUAAGCAGUUAAAUACUUGAAUAAAAGUGCUGAAACUGAAAAAAAAAGUUAUUGAUGUGUUUGGUAAAUAAUGUUUUUAAACAUUUUUUUAAUCAAAAUGACUUAAAUACCCUUAUAGCAAUUAUUAAUAUAUAGAGUUGAUUAUUAUUAUUUUUUAUUGCUAAAAUGAUUUAAAUUAAUAUAUAUAUAUAUAUAUAUUAAAAAAUAUAUUUUCAAGAAUGUCUAUAUUAAUUUGUGCGCUAAAAAAAUAUUUUUUAAGAGUUUAAGUGUUAUGUUUGAAAAAGAUAGUUAUUUAUUAAAAGACUAUUUAUUUCUUCAUGGUUACAUUAAGAUUUCAUAUCAUUAAGGUGCAAUUUGUGACGACACUUCCAUUUUCUUAUUAAACUGGACUUGUUACUUUUAACUUUUGAGGAUAAUAUUAAUAUAUAUGUCAAGCUUAUCAUUAAGCAAAAUAUAUAUGUUACUAAUCAUUAUAAUUACAACCCAUGAACUGUUUCAUAUAGUAAUACAUAUAAGUUAUGAGCUAUCAAUUUUUUUUAAAAAAAGACAUAAUCUAAUCCAGCGGGGCUAGUAACAAAUUUAAUCCAACUUUUUCUACUGUCCACGUGCUCAAUAUGCAUUAGCAUAACCAAUAAUUAUAUGAUUAAGGAAAAACCAAUAACUAUACUUUGAUAAGCAUGGAAACUAGAUCUGUGUUUGCGGUGAAAGAAGAGUCUUUUAGGGCAACAAGAGGACAAUUUUGGAAUGAGGAAAGAUUAUAAGGGCAAAAAAGUCAUUUACUUGGUCAAUGGAGGAAUAGAUUAUAAGUUGGAAAAAAAUAAGUAGCAAAUAUCAACUUUUUUUUUUUUAAGCCUUUUUUAAGCCAAAAUCAACUUUUUUUAAGCUAUUACAAAAAUUUCAAACACCAUUAAAAGCAAAAAAAUAGCUUAUAAGUUAUUUUAACCAACUUAUAAGUGAAUCUAAACACCCACUUAUUCUUUUAAAUGGUGUAUGGACUAUGAAUAUAAGUAAACGUCUGUUGAAUUUAAUUCAACACUUUAUUAUUAUACUCUGUCUAUUUCAUAUGACACCGUUUGACUUGACAUGUUUAAAACAAUUCCUGAAUAAUUGUUGGGUUGUUAAUCAUUUUAAUUAGGGAUUAAAGAAAUAUUUUAAAAUAAAAUUGUUCUAAACAUAGGAAGAUGAUAUUUUUUUGAGAUGAAUUAAAAAGAAUAUGAUACUACAUAAAAAUGAAAUAAGAGAGUAAAAAGUAAGGGCAUGUAGCAUUUGAAAUUCCUAUACCAAACACAUCUUUAGAUCUUUAAAAAACACAUAAAAUUUUCUCAUAUACAGAUAACGUUGAUCAACUUUUUGAAUGAGUUGACAACAUUAUAUUUGAAUUCUUCUUUCACUAAUGUUUUCGUAUUAUGAUUUCAUAUAUCUCAAGGGAAAAAAAUGAAGAACUUUCGACUCCCAGAAUUAGACCAAAAAUAAAAAUUUGGAUGUGGCUUAUUUUUUUAUAUAUUGUAGACAACUUUGCACUUUACUUUUCUGACAAAUGCAUUGAAUUAGAACUAACUGAUACUUUUAUAACGAUUUAACUAAUUAAGCUACCAAAAUAAAUUGCAUUAAAUAUCAAUAAUUAUUUGAGAGUAAAUUAUAACUUAAUUCAUUAAAGAUAAAUAAUUAGUUAAAUGACUUUUUUUUAAUCCUUUUUAUAUCAAAGUGUCUGUCUUAUUAUAAUUUCAAAUAACUUGAUAAUUUACAACAUCUUAAACUCUCUCAUCACAUUUAACUUUUAUAUUUAUUAUGAAACAGUGAUAUCCAAACAUGCUUGCUACACUUCACCCAGUUAAUCAAGUUAUCAAAUAAUAAAAAAGGAGAGAAUAAAAAGUUCUCAUUCGAAGGAAAAAAUGCACCUUAUCAUCCAUAAUCAACCUUAUCAUCCAUAAUCAACGCUUACUUUAAAACUGUAGCCAUUAUCAUAUUCCAACAUAAUGCCACAAAUUUUAUAAGAAAUUAAAUCAGGUGAUUUAAUUUGUUGGUUUGAAAUAUGAUAUUUGUUUUCACUAUUUCUCUUAAUUUCUAUUAGUUUUAAGAUUUCAUUAUUUCUCUUAUUUCUGUUAAUUGUGCCUCCUUUAUCCUUCUUCUUUGCAUUUAUUUUGAAACAAAAAUUUACCAUGAAAGAUCCAAAGCAAAAUCGUACAAUAAAUCAAUGAUAGUGUGCUACGGCGUGAACAAUUUGCUUAUCCAUAGAAAUAAACAUAUUCAAAUCUUACAGUGUUGUUGAGAUAUUUUGAUUUCUUUGUUUAUAACACACUAAAUUUUCUUGCUUUAUUUAUUUAUUUAUUUUUUAUUCGAAAUUUGAUUAUCUUUUCUAAUCUAUAUUUUAUUUGUAUGGAUUACAUAGAAUGGCUAUUUGAUUCUCUUUCGAAACUCACUCAUACCCUGUCAUGAAGUAUGACAACGUCUUUGAUUAUACUAGAGCAAAAAAGAACAGAAAAUCGCAUGGGUUCGCCACUUAUUCUAAUAUUGAUAUUAUUUGUUUGAAUAAAUGUGACAUGUUCUAUAAAAUAAAGUAAAAGAAGGUGAAUGAGAUGCAAUUUAUAGGGUCUUUAAUGCGCAGAAGCUAGCCAAAAGAUUGUCAAUAUGAUUUUAGAUAUACCAUAGGGUUAUAGACAACAAUUCAAAAAUCACAACAACAACAACAACAAACCCAGUGUAUUCCCACCUGGUGNNNNNNNNNNNNNNNNNNNNNNNNNNNNNNNNNNNNNNNNNNNNNNNNNNNNNNNNNNNNNNNNNNNNNNNNNNNNNNNNNNNNNNNNNNNNNNNNNNNNNNNNNNNNNNNNNNNNNNNNNNNNNNNNNNNNNNNNNNNNNNNNNNNNNNNNNNNNNNNNNNNNNNNNNNNNNNNNNNNNNNNNNNNNNNNNNNNNNNNNNNNNNNNNNNNNNNNNNNNNNNNNNNNNNNNNNNNNNNNNNNNNNNNNNNNNNNNNNNNNNNNNNNNNNNNNNNNNNNNNNNNNNNNNNNNNNNNNNNNNNNNNNNNNNNNNNNNNNNNNNNNNNNNNNNNNNNNNNNNNNNNNNNNNNNNNNNNNNNNNNNNNNNNNNNNNNNNNNNNNNNNNNNNNNNNNNNNNNNNNNNNNNNNNNNNNNNNNNNNNNNNNNNNNNNNNNNNNNNNNNNNNNNNNNNNNNNNNNNNNNNNNNNNNNNNNNNNNNNNNNNNNNNNNNNNNNNNNNNNNNNNNNNNNNNNNNNNNNNNNNNNNNNNNNNNNNNNNNNNNNNNNNNNNNNNNNNNNNNNNNNNNNNNNNNNNNNNNNNNNNNNNNNNNNNNNNNNNNNNNNNNNNNNNNNNNNNNNNNNNNNNNNNNNNNNNNNNNNNNNNNNNNNNNNNNNNNNNNNNNNNNNNNNNNNNNNNNNNNNNNNNNNNNNNNNNNNNNNNNNNNNNNNNNNNNNNNNNNNNNNNNNNNNNNNNNNNNNNNNNNNNNNNNNNNNNNNNNNNNNNNNNNNNNNNNNNNNNNNNNNNNNNNNNNNNNNNNNNNNNNNNNNNNNNNNNNNNNNNNNNNNNNNNNNNNNNNNNNNNNNNNNNNNNNNNNNNNNNNNNNNNNNNNNNNNNNNNNNNNNNNNNNNNNNNNNNNNNNNNNNNNNNNNNNNNNNNNNNNNNNNNNNNNNNNNNNNNNNNNNNNNNNNNNNNNNNNNNNNNNNNNNNNNNNNNNNNNNNNNNNNNNNNNNNNNNNNNNNNNNAAUAUUAUUAUUUUUAAUAUGUAAAUAACUUAUAAUAAUUAAUUAAAAAUAAUAUAUUAAAAUUACAGAAUAAGUAGCUGAAACAGACAUGUCGACGGAGAGUUGCUUCAGCCCAACUCUCUCUUAUAUAAUAAGAGAAUAAAUACAGCUAGUCAUGUAUAAUAAUAAUAAUAGUCUAAUUUUCUAUAAAAAUUCAUAAAUUUUAAAAAACCUGAAUCUGCGUGCAGUAUUAUCACAUUAUUUGAUUUAAAGAAAAUGCCUUUCUACUAUUUUAUUUUAAGAUUUCAGUUUUUUUAGAUUUUUUUUUUUAUAUAUAUAAUUAUGAUAUUUGAAUUAGCUUAUCGGUAAUCACGUCAAUCAAAAAUUGUACGCAUGAAAAGAAAUUACCUAGUGCCAUUACUUAGUUCUCGACUUUAUUGAACACCAGUCCGUAGCAUUUUUGGGAUACAAUUUGGAUGCAAUCUUUUUAGUUAUUUUGAUUGACAACGUAUGCAAUAUUUUUUAGCUAUGUCCAGUUAUUACUUAAAACUCUGUAAAGAUCAACUGUUAUAUAGAAUUGUCUUUUUAAAAUAUUUAAUUUGUUAGCUAUGUAUUUUUUUUAUUUUUUAUUCGAUAUUCGAUAUUCAUGUGAAGUUCAAUUAAAUUCAGAUCAUAUCGAAAAAUUACACGUUUGAGGAUAAAACGCCUCUUAAUAAGCAACUCCGUAACCAAAAUGCACUCAAAAGAAAACCCAAUAAUAGCGACUUUAUAGCUGUUUUGCGAGGCAUUGUGUAUCAGCGUGUGAGUGUCGGUGGUUUGGAUAGAUGGACAAGAUCUCAUGGUAGAUUUUGGAUAUGGAAAUUUGUUUCAGGCACCUUAUGCAGGGGCACAUUUACAAAUUUAAAAUAAGCCAGUGGAAUGGUAAUCUUUCCGUAAAAUCAAAUAUUUUAUAUAUAUUUGUUUUAAAUUGAUAUUUUUUUGGUUGCUGUAUACACAAAGCGAGAAUCGAACCCCGAUAUUCGCUUAAGCGAUCUAGUGAGCUAAUCACUGGGCCAACCAAGCUUCAUUUGUUCUAAAUCGAUAUUAUUAUCUGAUGGAGAUGCUAAAAAAAGCUAAAUAAUGUGCUUACAUAUUUUUUUUUUAUGAUCCACUUAUAAUUUAGAAAUCUUAAAUUCACUUCUAAGCUUAUGAAAGACGUAAAUUUUGAUAUAAAAGAGCCGCUUGAAUGACAAACAUCCUCCACCUUCAAUUCUAUAAUUAUGAAUUUGAUUAAUCAAUACAUCGUAAAGCUUUUCAAUUCUAUAAUUAUGAAUUUGAUUAAUCAAUAUAUCGUAAAGCUUUUAGAAAGGAGUAAAGUAACGUUAACUUCAUACUUUUUCCGCUUUAAUUUAUUUAACCUAUUUUUUUAGUUUGUUUCAAAAGAAUAUAUUUUGAAUUUUUUACAUGAUACAUUUAAGGCAAUAAAACUAUUUAUUUAUUUUUUGAUAUACUUAACCUUCAUGAGUGUACAACGAUAAUAACAUAACCAAUAUAUUUCCAAUCAAGUGGAAUAUAAGAAGGGAAAACAUACCGGUCCAUACCACUAACUCAAUAUCCUUUUUUUUUUUCUUAAAACUUCCCCAAAUCAAACCCAAACAAAUAGAAUAGUAGUUUUAGAUAGGGGUGGGCGUGAUAAGGUAUGAUACGGUAUUUAAAAUUUCGGUACUGUAAUUUUGGUAUUCGAUUUUUAAAAAUAUUAUACCAUUACCAUAUCAUAUUAAUUCGAUAUAGUUCGGCAUUUUGAUGUUUGAUUUCGGUAUUUUACGGUAUGAUAAUUGGUAACUAUAGUUUGUACAACUUCAAUAAUAUAUACUCAUAUACUUAUUAUUUAGACUUUUCAAAAGCACGUUUUAAUUGCAUCAUAAAUAUACAUUACACAUGUAGAAAUAUUAAAAAAGAAGUACAAACAAUUCUUUUUGUUAGUCAAUUACAAAAAAAAAAAAAGACAUUUCAAUCAAGAUAGAGUAUCGAAAGUUUUAAUGUCUAAACAUUGGCAAUAUUUUUAUACUAAUACUAAGUAUUAUAUUUGUGUGUGUAUAUAUAUAUAUACACACAUAAAGAUACAUACAUAUAUAAGUUAUUUAUGUAACUAUAUAUACUUCGGUAUGAUAUUUGGUAUUUCGAUAUGUUAUUUGUACAUAUCAAAUAUCAUACUAUAUACCUAAGAAAAUUUAAAAAUAUAUACCAUAUACUAUAUUAAUACCAUAAAAUUAAAAUUACGGUAUCAAAAAUUUUGUUCGAUACGGUAAUUCGAUAUAUACUAUGUCCACCCUAGUUUUAGAAAAAAGUGGUCAUUAAAUAGAGGGCGCCCUUGGGUCUGCAUAUAUUCUACACAUUUUCAGCAAAAUAGCAGCUCUCUCUCAAUCCCCGCGUUAAUAAUUGAACUGUAUAUCAACCGCUUCCAUUCUUUUCUCUCCCUGCUUCUUCUCCCUCUCACACAUUUCACACUAGCACCUUUCAACAGAGAGAACAACAAGGAGAUAACAAAGGGAAAAAUCAAGAUCCAAAAAACAAUGGGGUCUCUUCCACCACCAUAUUUAGACUUGUCUUCAAAGCACCAAGAUUCAAUUGACCCAGAUAGGCUUCUUCAUCUCUUUAAAGCCCAGCAGAAUUACCUCAACCAUUUCUUUCAAAAUCUUGAUCUUUCACAAACUCUUACUUUCACCCAAACACUCCUUAAUGCUAAAGGUACAAUUUACUUUACUGGUGUUGGGAAAUCUGGAUUUGUGGCUCAGAAAAUCUCACAGACUCUUGUUUCUUUGGGAAUUAAAUCUGGGUUUUUAUCCCCUGUUGAUGCGCUUCAUGGUGACAUUGGCAUUUUGGAUCCGGAAGAUGUGUUGGUUAUGUUUAGUAAAAGUGGGAAUACGGAGGAAUUGUUGAAGCUCGUGCCUUGUGCCAAGGCGAAAAGGGUGUUUUUGAUUUCGGUUACGUCGGUGAAGCCGAAUUGUUUGAUGGGUGUUUGUGAUUUGAAUGUGCAUUUGCCUUUGGAGAGGGAAUUGUGUCCGUUUGAUUUGGCGCCUGUUACGUCUACUGCUAUUCAGAUGGUGUUUGGAGAUACGGUGGCGAUUGCGUUGAUGGGGGCUAGGAAUUUGAGCAGGGAAGAGUAUGCUGCUAAUCACCCUGCUGGGAGGAUCGGGAAAAGCUUGAUCUUCAAGGUAAGGAGGGGUAAUAUAGUAUUUUCUUAUGGUGCUUCCUUGAGGAAUGUGAUCCUUUGUGCUGUAUUUAUUGUGAUCUUGUAGUAAGAUCUAGGAAAUAAUCCCUAGAUUUUUGUUAGAGUUCCACAUUGGUUAGGGAAUGGAUUAGUGGUUUGCGUAUAUGGACUUGGCUAAUCCUCCCCUCGUGAGCUAGCUUUUGCGGUUGAGUUAGCCCCAAGUGCCAUAUCUUUACAGUUUUCACCUUAAUGUUGUGCGACGUGAGCAUGAAAAAGGUUCAAGUUUGUUCCUCCGCCUCAUCCUCCCUUCACUUUUUGUAUUGUUCCAGUUUGGGCUGUGGAGAAUUGAGUUUCGAAUAACGGUAAUCUUGGUUUUAUUUAUAGUUUUUGUUGUUUUUGAAAAUUGGCGGUAGUCGGUUCAAAUGUUGGAUAUUGGAAGGUUAUUUUGUCCAAAUCUUGGGUGUUUGAAGGUUAUUAUUCAAGUGUUAAUGCUUGUGUUUUAUUACAUUGCAUUGUGUGAGGGUAAGUUUAAGGAUUCUUGGAUUCUGGUGUCUUUUUUGGUUUUUUCAGUCGCAAAGGAAGAUUAUUGUCCAGCAACCGCUUUCAAGUUGCCUAAUUGAUUUUCCAGUCACGAAAUUUUUUGACACAUAAUGACUAUUGAAUAGCUGACUGCUUUAGCUUUCAGCCGUUUUUUAAGAAUUGCAUCAAAUUUUCGCAUGUGCUCGUCUGGUUGAUCCAAAAGGGUAACUCAACUGCAAUGAAUGAAGUUGAGUAUUCAUCUUACUCCUGAGCUUGCCAUCUAACUUUGCAGGUAAGAGAUGUGAUGAAGAAGAAAGAAGAUCUUCCAAUUUGCAAGGAAGGAGAUCUUAUUAUGGAUCAACUAGUAGAGCUGACAAGCAAAGGAUGUGGGUGCCUCCUUGUUAUUGAUGAGGAGUUUCAUCUGCUUGGCACAUUCACUGAUGGUGAUUUACGUCGGACAUUGAAAGCCAGCGGGGAAGGAAUCUUCAAGCUUACAGUUGGAGAAAUGUGUAACAGGUAAUGUUACUUGUACCUCUGUUAGCAUACUUGUAUCCUCAAUAUACCAGUUACACCGAAAGACCUAAUCCCUUGGAAAAAGAACUAGUGGAAAAAAGAAGGGCAGAAAGGGAGAAAGAUAUAUUGCUUCCACCGAAAGACACAUAAUUCCUUAACAGAAAAGUUCCUUGGCAAGCACAUGUUCGCUGUGGUCAAAAUGUGGUUAAACCAGUCUAGACUUAUACAGUCAUGAAUAUUGCUUUUUAGUACUUUUGCUGAUGUCAUGGUCCGGAAAUAGAUCUAACUUGGUCUUUUGUUAACCUACAGCGUGGCACUUAAUUUUCUUAGCAGUUAAACUUAGAUCCUGGUGUUAUCUUUCCCUUGCCAAAAUAUCAGUGGGAUAUUGUUCUAGUAAAAACAUGUCUUUUUGCACAAAGACAUGCUAUAGCAUUAGAUGAAGGCAAGAUGUAGUAAAUGAUGCAGAUUGAUGGGCCAAUGUUUGUUCAGCAGUUGAAAGGAAGUAAAUGAUAAAUCACAUGCAUCUUAUUCGGCUUCGGAAGGCACUGGUGACAAUGCCUCUGUUGUCACCAUAUAAAUGUGUCAAUGCUCAUAUAUGAAAGUGUCAACAACAACAACAACAACAACAAACCCAGUGUAUUCCCACCUAGUGGGGUCUGGGGGGGUAAGAUGUACGCAGACCAUACCUCUACCUCUGGUGAAGUAGAAAGGCUGUUUCCGAUAGACCCCCGGCUCAAGGCACGAGAUACCACACAAACACAUAGUAAAGCACAGAAGCGGAUUACAUAACAUAAACACGGCACCCAUAAGUAAUAUAAAACAGAGGAAAGCAGAGGAAAGCACACAGAUUCGUAAUAAAACAUGGAACACGGAACAAGGAAUCAUAACAGGAAUAAAACCCCCACCAAGUCCUUCCCUCCACUAGCGACCCAAACUGGCCCUAAUCCUCUGCCGAAAUUCGCGCCCUCCAGACCUUCCUAUCUAGGGUCAUGUCCUCGGUGAGCUGUAACUGUUUCAUGUCCCGCCUAAUCACCUCGCCCCAGUACUUCUUCGGCCUACCCCUACCCCGCCUAAAACCAUCCAACGCUAGCCUCUCGCACCUACGGACCGCCCUCAUCUUUUGGAUGUGGGAGUUCUUCACUGGCCAACACUCCGCUCCAUACAACAUGGCCGGACGGACUACCGCCCUGUAGAAUUUGCCUUUAAGCUUAGGCGGCACCUUCUUAUCACACAGCACCCCUGACGCGAGCUUCCACUUCAUCCAUCCCGCCCCAAUACGGUGCGAGACAUCCUCAUCAAUCUCACCGUUACUCUGGAUCACGGACCCGAGAUACUUGAAACUCUCCCUCUUACCUACCUCCUGUGAUUCCAGCUUCACUACUACCUCGUUCUCCCUCCUCAUGUCAUUAAACUUGCAUUCCACAUACUCUGUCUUGCUUCUGCUCACCCUGAACCCUUUAUACUCAAGGGUUUGCCUCCACACCUCUAAUUUGUCGCUCACACCCUCUCGGGUCUCAGCUAUCAGAACUACAUCGUCUGCAAAAAGCAUACACCACGGCACCUCCCCUUGAAUACGCCGCGUCAACACAUCCAUUACCACUGCAAACAAAAAGGGACUAAGAGUAGAUCCCUGAUGCAACCCUGUCCGGACCGUGAAAUGUUCUGAGUCUCCUCCCGCCGUCCUCACCUUAGUUUUCGCUCCAUCAUACAUAUCCUUGAUUGCUCUGAUGUAUGCCAGCGGUACUCCCCUCACCUCCAAGCAUCUCCAAAGCACCUCCCUAGGGACUUUGUCGUAGGCCUUCUCCAGGUCGAUAAACACCAUGUGCAGGUCCUUCUUCCUCUCCCUAUACUGUUCCACCAACCUCCGUACCAGGUGAAUUGCCUCCGUCGUCGAGCGGCCAGGCAUAAAUCCAAACUGGUUUUCUGAAAUAGACACUAUCCGUCUCAGCCUCACCUCGACCACUCUCUCCCAGAUCUUCAUAGAGUGACUCAAUAACUUAAUACCCCUAUAGUUGUUGCAACUCUGGAUGUCCCCCUUAUUCUUAUAGAGAGGUAUCAUGGUGCUCCACCUCCAAGCCUCGGGCAUCUUUGCCGUCCUGAAGAUUUCAUUAAACAAUCCAGUCAACCACCUUACACCAGCCUCUCCAACGAACUUCCAAAACUCCACUGGGAUCUCAUCCGACCCCAUCGCCCUACCCCUUCGCAUCUUGCAGACAGCCUGUCCAUCCUCUUCUACCUUAAAACGUCUGCAAUAGCUAAAAUUCCGACACUCCACUGAGUGCUCCAGUUCCCCUAACACAAUAGCUCUAUCCCCUUCGUCAUUCAAGAGCCUAUGAAAAUACGACUGCCAUCUCUUCUUAAUGUGGCCGUCCUCCACCAACACUCUACCGUCCUCCCCCUUAAUGCACCUCACCUGAUCGAGGUCACGACCCUUCCUCUCCCUAGCCUUAGCGAGUCUAAACAACUUUUUCUCCCCUCCUUUCUCCUGUAACCCUGCAUACAAGCUUCAUAUAUGAAAGUGUCAAGUGCAAUUUUGGUAGAAUAACGCAGGAAAUAUCUCUCCCCUGGGUUCUACUUUUACGGUUGAACCUACGCCUUGGUGCCCGGUCUCCACCUGCCCCAUCCCUAGAAACAGUUAAGGGUAGAAAUUGGUGGUUUAGUUUUGUAGAGCCUCUUUUAAUAGUUCCUCCAAAUUUUGAUGCUUUCUGUAAGACCUAGUUCAUAAUAUUGACUAAUUUCUUUUUGUUAAACAAGUAUUUGCAGUCUGAUUUGCUUGAGUUACUUCCUUUAUGUAUCAUACACCCAGAUUAUCUAAUUAAGUUCUGUCUAUCAAACCGGACUAGCAUGUAUCAGGCCCUGGUUUGUGUUCUCUUGUUAAAAUUCUAGCAUAGAGUAGGAUACAGACUGUUGAUCCUUGUAAAUUACUGUUAUAAACAUUACACAAGUCAUUGGAUAUUUCCUGGCAUGUCAAUAUUCAAGUUUCCUUCCGAUAAAAAGUUGGAUUUUGCGAUAUUACUUUGUUCUUGCUUUUUUAAUUGAGGUAGGAUGGCGUCUUUUGACUAUGAGAAGUAAAGAAUUAUUCUUUGCUUCUGUCUUUAACUUAUCAAAAAAUAAUUCUUGGCUUCCGCCUUAACAUCACAUUGUUGAUUAGAUCUUUUACGCUCCUUGGUGGAUCACCGGCGGCGGUGCUAAUAGUUGUAGUAGUAAUGACAUUAGUAUGCGUUCUGCCUUUGAAUUCUUUAACCUUUAAUAAUACAGGCUCUUAAUAUAGUUUUUGUUUGAUUAAGAGCAAUCUAAUGACACUUCUUCCCGACAUUAUGAAUAGUUAUCCUCAGAGAUUAAAGCAUUUCUAUACACUUACUUGGUGUUUCAGGAAGCCAAGGACGAUUGGUCCAGAUGCUAUGGCAGCUGAUGCAAUGCAGAAGAUGGAAUCUCCGCCAUCUCCAGUCCAGUUCUUGCCAGUUAUUGAUCAAGAUAAUGUCUUGAUUGGUAUUGUUACGUUGCACGGACUGGUGUCAGCAGGCUUGUGAAGUUCUUGCCAUUAUAAUUUAUUCUUUAUGUAUAUUGUUGGGCUUCCGACCCCAUUUCCUUCAGCUGAUGUUAUAUUACUCCUGUAGAAAUGAUGAAUAUUAGUAGUGUAAUAUAUUAUAGUCGCCUUAUUAGACUACUUAUAGAUUGGGCUACAGUUUUGUGCCUGUUACAACGAGGGAGCACGUGACAGCGAUGAUCCUAUGUUCGUCAGAUCUAUGCAAAAUCGAGUGAAAUAUUAUGUAUGGUGUUAUUUUUUUCUUCAAAAUAAUGCUUUCAAGGAGUCUUUUUGCCCCCAAAAUGUUACAAGGUUUAUUCUAAUUGUGAAGAAGUUAUAGAUGAUCAUGUUCGUUGAGAAACUCUCAUAUUUGGUGUCCACGAAAGUGUCUAUCAUUCCAGAUAGGGAUGUCAAUUAGGGGAAAUGUCAUAGGGAUGUCAAUUAGGGGAAAUGUCAAAAUGUAUUUAUAAUCUAUAUUUGUAAUCUAUAAUAUAUUAAAAAUGAAGAUGUGAUUUGAACUUUUUGUCCUAUUCUUCUUUAAAUAAAAUUAUCUUUUCACUAUUUCUUUUAAUUUAUUAUUUAAUUAUUUUAUUAUAUUAACGAGGCUAUUAAAAUAUGAGACUCCUAAAAUAUAUGGAAGGAGCAUCAAUUAAUAUUUUCCUAUUGAUCAAUUAGAAAAAUACUUUUAAAAUAGGAUAGAAAAAUAUUACUCUAUUAAGGAAAUAUUCAAGGUUCUAUUAAGAAAAUACUUCUAUAAAUAUUGAGAUGUGGUAAACUAGAUAAGAAAAUGAUAUACUUAUUGAGAUGCAUGCUAAAUUAGACAAGAAACUGAUAUACUUAUUGUGAAAAAUAUGAUUGAUGUUCAUCUAACUUGAUUCAGUUACAUGUCAAGAUUGAUGGAUGUUUAAUUUUUUAACCUCCAAUUUCUUCACUAUUUUUGUUAACAUAAUAGAAUCAACGUGUGUAUAUAAUAUAUCUUCUUUGUUUUCAUUCAAGCCAUUCUUUAGUGUCAAUUUUCACUCAGACUAAAAUUAUUUUCUUUAAAAUUGAAGCUUUGUGAUCACUAUUGUAUUAUUUUGUUGUAGUUUACAGAUAGUAGGUGAAUGUCAGUCGGCUUUGAGAAUUUUUUUUGGGUAAAUGUCAGGUUUAAUUGUAUUGUUUUUAUAUCUCAAUUAUCGUAUUAUUUUGUUACAGUUUACAGGUGAUAGAUGAGUAUCAGACGGUUUGAGGAAAUUUUUGUGUAAAUGUUAGAUUUAAUUAUAUUGUUUUGAUGUCUGUGUUGCAGUUUACAAGUGUUAGAUGAAUGUCGCUCAACUUUGAGAUUUUUUUUGACAAAAGUUAGAUUUAAUUAAGUAAAUUCUCUAAAUUCAUCUUUAUUAUUUAAACAAAUAUCCUAUUUAGUGUAACAUUUGAACUCAGUAAAGUGAGGUACACGCGUGAGGCGCGUACACCUAAAGAUGAAUCUACUUACUGGGUUCUGACAUAUUUUUUUUUGCUCGUUUCAGCUCAAUCCACUUCCGUCCAAAAACGUAAGUGGAUCAAUGACCCACCCAUUUAUUAGCCCAACUAGUUUAGGUGUAAGCGUCUUGCGCGUGUACCUCACUUUAUUGAGUUCAAACGUUACACCAAAUAGGAUAUUUGUUUAAAUAAUAAAAAUGAAUACAAUAAUUAAAUUCAAUAUCUUUUGGAGAAUUUAUUUAAUUAAACCUAAUCUUUACCAAAAAAAAAAUUCAAAGUCGAUCGACAUUUAUUUGCCACGUGUAAACUACAACAAAACAGUAUGAUGAUAGAGCUAUCAAAACAAUAUAAUUAAAUCCAACCUUCACACAAAAAAUUACUCGAAGUCGUCCGACACUCAUCUACCACUUGUAAACUAUAACAAAAUAAUACGACAAUAGAGAUAUUAAAAUAAUACAACUAAACUUUAUCUUUACACGAAAAAAAUCUCAAAACAAAGAUACAGAGGGCCUGUUUGGCCAUGAAAGUUUUUUUCUUUUUUCAGUUUUUUUUUUCAGAGUUGAAAAUUGUGAUGUUUGGCCAUGAAAAUUCGAAAAAUAAUUCCGGAAUUAAAUUUCAAAAAGUGAAAACAACUUUUUGUUAUUUUCCCUUUUUUCCACUUCCAAUUCCAACUUCCAUUAUUAUUACAUAUAACCCAAAUCUUUAAAUGUUUACACAAACCCCUCUUAUUAACUACAAUCAAUCACCGAGAAAAAAAUUAUUAUUUGUUUUCUAUGGUACAAAAUCAUUUUUAGUUGUUACAUAUAUUCUAGUCUUUUUUUCUUCUUUUAACCAAAAUUUACUAAAGUGAAGUAAAAAAUAAUAAUGACAAUCUAUGGCGGAAAUAUACCAACUUUGUUUUGAAUGAACUAUAUUAGAGAAAUAUAAGUCCUAGUACAUUAUGUUAUUUAAAAGUGAGAAAUUUAAUAUUUUUUCUUGUCAUUCUAAUUUUCUGUAUAUGUCAUAUAAUGACUAUUAUGAUUUAAUAAAUUAUUAAAAAGUGAUCAAUAAAGUCGCAUAUCAAACAUAAUGUAACGAUUCAUAUUUAUGAUACAAUAAUAUUCAAGGAAAAUCAACAUCAUCAAUAAUAAUAAAAAAAAAGCAAAAAAUUAGCACUAAUCUGUUCAGAAAUAAUUCAUUUGUAAAUUUUUUUAAAAAGACCAAAUUCAAUAAAAUAAUUAAUUCAAGUGAAAAUAAUUAAGAAUUUUCAUCAACAAAUUUAACAAUAUAUAAAAUAUAUUUAUAUCUAUCAAAAUAUAUUUUUUCUCUAUUCAAUCGAUUAUGGUUAGAUAAACUUAUUUAGCUCGUGCGUAUGAUGUUUUUUAUUCAAAUUUUAGAAGAAUAACAAUCAUAAUAAUUAGUUCGUUGUUAAUUAUUUUAUCAAUUGAAGACAUAUAAAUUAUUUUCUCAACAUUUGGUUGUAUGUUAGUAGGUAAAUUAGUAGUUGGGUGAUUUGGAUAAUUUUUUCAAGUUGAGGCCAUAAAAUCAUAUUUAAAAAGGAUUUUUCAAAAGUCUAAAAAAAAAAUUCAAAAAUACAUGGCCAAACACAACUCCAACUCCAAUUUCAUCUUCAACUCCAACUCCAACUCCGAAAAAAAAAUAAUUUUCAUGGCCAAACGACUACUAAAACAAUACAAUUAAACCUAACAUUUACCUAAAAAAAAACUCUCAAAGCCAAUUGACAUUCAUCUACCACAUGUAAAUUCAUCUACGACCUGUAAACUACAACAAAAUAAUACAACAGUGAUCACAAAACUUCAGUUUUGAUAAAAAUAUUUCUUCUCUGAACAAAAAUUUUGACACUAAGAGAUGACUUGAAUAAAAAUAAAGAAGGUAUAUAUAUACACACACGUUGAAUUCUUUAAUGUUGACAAAAAUAAUGAAGAUGUUGGGAUUGGAAAAUUAAGCAUCUAUCAAUCUAGAUGCAACCAAAUUAAAUUAGAUAAACAUCAAUUAUAUUUUUCACAAUAAGUAAAUCAGUUUCUUCUCUAGUUUAACGUAUCCCAAUAUUUAUAGAAGUAUUUUCUUAACAGAGUCCUAUUAUCAGUUUUUUCUCUAGUUUAACGAAUCUCAAUAUUUAUAGAAGUAUUUUCUUAAUAGAGUCCUAUUUUAGAAGUAUUUUCUUAAUAGAGUCCUAUUUUAGGAGUAUUUUUCUAUCUUAUUUUAGAAGUAUUUUUUAGAGUAUUUCUUUAGUAGAGUCCUAUUUUUCUAUCCUUUUGGGGGAUUAUUUUUUAGUUGAGCAGUACAAAGGAUAAUAUUAAUUGAUUCUCCUUUCAUAUAUAUAUAUAUUAGGAGUCUCAUAUAUUUUAAGAGUCUAGUUAAUAUAAUAAAAGUAAUUAAAUAAUAAAUUUUUAAAAAUAGUGAAAAGACAGUUUUGUCUUCACACUUUUAAUUUAUUAUUAUUUUAACUGCACGUGCCUCACAUGAGUAACUUUUGAUUAUUCAAAAUUAAAUGAUUUUAUCUAUUACAUAGAAUUUUAAUAAAUUGUAAAAGUUUAAAUCACAUUUCAAAGAUUUUUCAUACUUUAAUAUAAUAAUAUAAAUAUAAACAUAUAUUUUAGUGUAAGCACAUAUAUAUUUUACAUCAUUGCUUUUGCGUUUGUCAUAAAGAUUUUUUGCCUUACUGUCAGAGGUUAAGAGAGACGUAUCAAUCUGACUCAUACAUGGUACAAUUAUUUUUCUUUUUCUUUCCAUAUUUAAAACUUUCCUUGUGUUUAAAGUUAAAUCUUUACAAAAUCAUUGAUUAGAUUCUUAUUACGUACUUAAAACUUUUAAAAUUUUUGUACUUCUUAAAUAUUGUUCUUAUUCUAAUGAUAAAAAUAAAAAUAAUCAUAAAGUACCAAUUGACAUUAAAGUAAAUAUUAAACCGAUUGUAAUAAUAUAAAUAAAUAUUGCAUCUCAAAUAAGUUCUUGUUGUUAUGAAAUCAGGUGUCGUGUGGAAGCUAACAAAUCAAACCGCAAAAAGAGUCAAAUAAGAAGACACGUAAGAAAUACAUCAAAAUAGAUAAUAAUUUAACGUGAUUCGAGCAAUUGACCUAGAAUCACAAAAGCACACGAAUAAUCCACCAUAUAAAAUAGAAUAUAAAAUAUUAAGAGAGACAACCUCACACAACUCAGACACAGUAAAAAAAAGGUUCACAACACCUGGAAGACUGACAUUCACCUUCAAAUCUCUAUUAUCAUCCAACAAAGGUUUUCGUUUUUCAUGAAGCAAGCAAAAUUUACCCACUUAGUCUAUGUUAAUAACUUAUAUAUAUAUAUAUAUAUAUAUAUAUAUAUAUAUAUAUAUAAGUUUCUUUAGUUAUGAUUGUACCAUUCUCAUGAUGAUGAGUAUAGAAAAUUCAUAAUUUAGGGUACUUAGCAACCUAUAAUAUGUAUGAGUGUGUAAAGUAGCUAUGAAAAUAAUUUUUUCUUAUGUUAAUAUGUUCACGAACGAAAGAGUUUAUGUUUAUACUUUUUGACUUUUUUUUUAUGUUGGCUGUUUCAACACCGCAGUAUAUCUCCUUCCGCCUAUGAAAAACUAUUUAGCCUAACAUGAGGCAAAAUUUGUAUCUUUUAAUUAUAUAGAGUACUUGGGAUAGUAGGUGAAUAGUAAUUUAGUAUAAGUCAAAUUUUCUUCAAAAAUACCUAGAUUUUCUUCUCUGGUAUUAAUAAAUCUUUCGUCCGAAAGGUUAUUUACUAUGGGACAGUUUAUUCCUUUACUAAAGGUGGAUUUAACAAUUAUUUGGAUAAAAGAAAUUUUUAGAAGCACCUGCUUCAAUUGUAAUUUUACUAUAUCACUCCUAAUUAAUUAUUACAAGUCAUUUAUGUGUUAAUAAGUAAUAAUAUUUAAUAAAAAAAUAAAAUAGACAUUUAUGACAUGUUUGCUUCAGCUGCUUCAACUGUAAUUUUACUGUGUUAUUCCUAAUUAAUUAUUGUACCCCUAAUUAAAUACUAUAAGUCAUUUACGUAUUAUAAAAUUAAUAAUAUUUAAUUAAAAAAGUUAAAAUAAAUAUUUAUGAUUGUUUCAGCUACUUCAACCAUAAUUAAAUACUAUAGACUUACUUUUGCCUCCAAUAUUCUUGAAGAACGGUAAAAAUUCAUCCAAUUUAUAGUACCCACAAAAUUAAAACCUGAUCAAGCACAAAGGACAUAAAUUUUAGAUUAAGAUUAAAGAAGAAAAAAACAACAACACAAUAUUUGAUGCUCAAAACCAAAAAGAAAAUAAAAAAAUAAUUUAACCAAAAAACAAAUUGGAAGAAGAACAUACUAAUAACAAUUUAAGAAAGGUAACAAUUUAUUUAACCUAAAAAAAUUAUACUUUCCUAGAAGAAGUUGUACGUGAGGGUAGAUUUAAAGAUAUUAAGAUUUAAAUAAAGAAAUCUUUGAUGACCAAAAUUUAAAUUUGUACGAAAAUUUUUAAUUUUAACAUAACUAAAAUAGAAAAGAUAUAUAUUCUCAAAAUUAGAAGUUUAGUACUAAUAAAUUUUCUAUUUUUAUUCUCAUAUUAAAUUUUCCUUAUUAUUUUAAGCUACGCCAAUUUUAAAACUUUUUAUACUUUUUUAUGUCCAAAUCACGUUUUACCUUUUUUAUUUACCUUCAUGUCGUUCAGACUGUACCAAUUGUAAUGACUAUUAACUUUUAGCCAAACAUAAUAACCUUAUCCUUUUUUUAUUUAGUCAAAUUUUAUUUUGACUAAAGUUAAUUAAAUAAUAUCUUUGAGUAGGAAUUUUAUUUGAGUAAUAUAGAAAAAGACCAUCUAGUCUAUUAGAGAGACUUUUAAUGAAAAUCAGAAAAUUUAAAUCAUUUUUUUAAGGUUUUCACACUUUUAAUAUAUUAUAGAUAUAAAUAGAUUUAGAUUUCUAGAUUUUUCAAAUCUUUUUAACGUUGAAUUUAGUCGAUUUGAAAUUCCUAAACUAAUGAAAAAAAGUAUUAGUUGUCAUCAAUCCUAAUGACUUUUAAUAAGAAAAGGUUUUACCAUAAAUAUAUUUAAUUAAUUUUCAUUCUUAGAUAUUAGGAAAAAAUAGUAAAAAGACGAUUUUGUCUAAAACAAAGACUUUUAAUAAAGAACAAAAAGUUCAACAAUAUUUUUAAGGCCUUCACACUUUUAAUAUAUUAUAGAUAUAUAUAGAUAUAGAUGAUAAAUCCAAUCAAUAAUACAUAAAAUUAUUUUGAUUGUUUUUGCUUAGAAAUAAAUAGUACUAGUAACAUAUUUGCCAUAAUUUAAUACUCCCUCCGUUUAAAAUAAUAAACCUUAUUUUAUUUUAGUCCAUUUAAAAAAUAAAAAUUUCUUUUUUUUUUUACAAUACUUUAAUUUUAGCUUUUCAUAAAAUUUAAAUUUUUUUAUUAAUUUUUUUUAAAUUUUGUGUCAAGUUAUUUUUUUUUUUUUAAACUGAGGGAGUACUAUUUCUGAUAAAUAUCAUUUCGAUUGAAUUUUUUCUUGGAUCCAUUUUGCAACAUUCGCUUCAAACUUCCUACCAAACGAAAUGAACGCUCAGCUGAAUUCCACAGCGAAUUUCAUUCAAGGUACUAAAUAAAACCUUUCCCCUUCUUCCCCUUUACCGCUUAUUUGUCUUAAUAAUCAAUCAAUUCUCCCAUGUGCAUUUACCUUGUAGAAAACGCCGCCGGUAGUGAUUCCGACUCCAACUCCGACGAUUCGCCGGAAUAUUACCAGCCAAUCUCUUCCACCGCCGAUGAGGACGAUCCACACAACUCCGAUCACGAAGACUCCGACGAAUCUAGUGAUGUUCAUCGCCUCCCUAAUGGCUAUGCGAAUUGCGUUGAGAACGGAAUAUCAUCAUCACAGGAUCUAAGUGACGAGGAUGAAGAGUCGGAGGAGGCGGAGGAAGAGAGAAUAAGAACGGCGUCUGAUACCGCUGUACGGAGAGCGUUUACAGAGGACGAGAGCCGUCGGAAUACUCCGUUGACGGCGGAGAAUGCAACGAGAGUAAUGGAAGCUAUGCGGAGGAUUUCAUUUGGUGGAGUGGCUCCUGAUUGGACCAGCCAAGUUCCGGAGGAUCAGUGGAUUCAACAUCUACAAACAUUGAGAAGAUCACCAGCUACUGCUACGUCGACAAACUGAAACAGUUUGAUUUGCGAUUAAUUAGUAAUUGCCUGAGCUUUACGGAUUUAAUCUUUGUUGUUUUAGCUGAAUUGCGUGAUUAUUCAUGGAAUGUGCUGGAUAAUACUAUUGUUAAAUAGUACUAAGUUGUGGUUAAAAUGUGAUUAAACCUUUCUAGCUUUCUAUGCUCAUGAAUAUUUGCUCUUAAGAUUUUUGUUGAUGUCAUUGGUUUGGAAAUAGAUAUAACUUAGUUUUGGUUAAUCUAUGGUGUGUAUUAACUGAAAAUCUCUCACAACAGCCUUGUUCCUAAUUUCUCUGUAAUAUUGAAUAACUGAUGUAUUUUAUAUUAUUGUUAUUUGUUGUGUAUAUCUUAGUAGGUAGCUUAGAGAGAAUACAGGAUUUGUAUUUAUCCUUUUAAAGGAUUCAUGUACACAGUGACUAUAUAAAUAAAAUCUUCCUCUCGACGGAAGUUUUAACCGAGAGUCUGCGAACUCCAUUAUUCUCCCAUUGUUUAUAUUUUUACAUGGUAUUAGAGCCAUCGAUUCAAUAUGGCUGAUUCGACAAACACAAACAAUAAUCUCACUCUCACACAAGGAUCAUCUUCCAAUAAAGUUACUUAUCACUUACCGAAUCUCUCUCCGAAACUUGAUCGAAAUAACUUUCAGAUUUGGAAGAGUAAUGUCAUCAAUGCUCUUCAAAUCUUCCGUCUCCAUUCUUUCGUUCUAUCCUACAAUCCACCACCUGCUACUGUAACGUCCCAAAACGACCCAGCUGAACCAUCUGUAACUGUUCCAAAUUUGAAAUAUGAGGAGUGGUACCAAUGUGAUUUGUACAUCCUUCUUUGGCUCAAACAAACAAUUUCAGAUCCUCUUCUUCCUUAUGUAAUCACUGCCAAGUCUUCUUUUGAAGCAUGGAAUAAAAUUGAGUGCCUUUUUCAAACCCAAGCAAAAUCCCGUGUGAGGCAACUCAAAUGGCAACUUCAUUCUCUUCAAAAAGGAUCUCUUUCUAUUCUCGAAUAUUUUGAAAAGACACGAUCUCUAGCCGAUACCUUAGCCGAAAGCUCUCAAAUUAUCUCGGAUGAUGAUUUUGUCUCAUAUAUUCUCUAUGGUCUUGAUUCGUCUUUUGGUUCUUUUCGCGCAGCUCUCAACCUGCGUGUUGAACCUAUUACUCCCACUGACUUACUCGGACUUCUUCUUCUAGAAGAAGAACAAAUAAAUGAAGAGGCUCAACUUAUUUCAGCUUCUUCCACACCCACUCCCACUGCCAACUUGGCCAGAACUUCCAGGGCACCUGCUUCUGCACAAGCACAGUCCAAUUAUUCACACCAGCCAUCUCAUUCAUCUACCUAUACAAAUUCACGUCCAAAUCGCCGUCGUCCCCAAUGUCAAAUAUGUGGAAAAUCUGGCCAUGAAGCGCUUAAUUGCUACCAGCGCCUUAAUACCACUGCCUACCCUUCCCCCCACACUAAAUUUCUGUCUCCCACAGCCUCUUCACACCCGCCUGUCAUGUCCAAUACCCGUGCACCUUAUUCAGCCCUACAAGCCAACUAUGCUUCUCUAUCUACGAUUGUUGAUCCAUCAUGGUAUUUUGACUCCGGUGCUUCUCAUCAUGUUACUCCAGAUUUGCAACAACUAUCUAUCAACUCAGAGUACUAUGGAGGUGAUCGACUUGUUGUCGGUAAUGGUAUGUCACUAAAUAUUUCGCAUAUUGGCACUAAGAUUCUGUCUGCUAAACCUAAACCUGUCACCCUAUCCGAUGAUCUUGUUGUUCCCAAAUUAACCAAAAGCCUCUUAAGUAUUUCCAAACUUACCCGUGAUAAUAACGUCCUUGUUCAGUUUCAUGCUAAUGAGUGCUUUGUUAAGAAUCUGCAGGGCCAAGCCAUACUUCGGGGAGUCGUUGACGAUGACUUGUAUCGCCUCAUUCCACCGCCUACAUCAAAGUACACCAAACCAUCACCCAUGGUAUUUCUUGGUGAACGCACUAGCUUGCUGGAUGGCACCGUAGAUUGGCGCAUCCUAAUGAAGCCACAUUACGUCAUCUUGUCUCUAGUUAUAAUCUUCGUGUAUCAAAUUUUAGCUUUCCUAGUAUUUGUGCACCUCGUCAAAUGGGCAAGAGUCAUCGUAUUUCAUUAAUUCAUCGUCAUGAGCCAAGUUUGCGUCCUUUUGAUCUUCUGUAUUUCGAUGUUUGGGGUCCUGCUCCAAUCAAUUCUAUUAACGGAACUCAUUACUUUAUUUUAUUCUUGGAUGAUUGUACCAAAUUUAUUUGGAUUUAUUUUAUCCAUCAAAAAUCGAAUGUGCUUACUCUUUUUAAACAAUUUCAUACCAUGGUUGAAACCCAAUUCAGUGGCAAAAUAAAAUGUCUACAAGCUGAUUGGAGAGGUGAAUCCCGUAAUGUUUCUUCUCACCUUCAAUCACUAGGCAUCCUACAUAGAGUUUCAUGCCCCCCACACCGGAACAAAAUGGUGCUCCGGAGCGACGUAAUCGUAUAAUUGUUGAAAAAGGAUUAUCCAUUCUUGCCCAUGCUUCCCUCCCAUUGUCUUUUUGGGAACCAGCCUUCCACACAACAGUCUACCUCUCUAACCGAACCAUCACCUCCAUCCCAAACCACUCGUCUCCUUAUCAAUGUCUAUAUCGUCGUCCACCUGUCUAUGGUUUUUUAGAAUCUUUUGGCUGUCUUUGUUUCUCCUUUCUUUGUCCUUACCGUAGCCACAAGUUUGAAUUCCGCUCUCAACCAUGCAUCUUUAUUGGUUAUAACUCAAAACACAAGGGCUAUAUGUGUCUUCAUGUGCCAACUAAUUGGGUCUAUGUCGCUCGUCAUGUUGCCUUUGAUGAGGAAUGUUUUCCUUAUCAAGACCACCUAAAAACAUCCACUUCCAGAUCCCAUUCUACUUUCUCUACCAUUCCCUCCACACUGCUUCAUCAAGCUGCAUCCCUUCCUUCACCUGUACAGGCUCCAACUCAAUUGUCAACGACUACUCGGGAUGUUGUUUAGCCUUCGACAAGCACACAAGUAAUUACCUCUUCUCAACCUUCAUGUUCUACUAAAUCACCUUCUCCCAUACCUUCUAGGAAUUCUGUUUCACCUUCAAAAUCCCACUCCCUUCCUCCUCAUCCUCUCACCCUUCAACUGCUCCUUCGUAUUUUCGACCACUAGAUAACUCUCACCAUAAAAUGAUAACUCGUUCUAAAACCAAUUCCUUAGCUCCAAAAGCUUUAACCACAUCCAAACAUCCUCUUCCAGUUGAUCCCUUCCCUAUUGAGGAACCCAAAAAUUUUAACCAGGCUUCCAAACUUCCUCUAUGGCAGCAAGCUAUGCAAACAAAAUUUUCUGCUCUUAUGCGAAAUAAUACAUGACAAUUUUUUCCACCUCCGCCUAACUCUAAUGUUGUUGCCUUUGUUGGUUGUAAGUGGGUUUACAGAUAAAGCAUCAUGUUGAUUGUUCCAUUGAGCGCUAUAAAGCUCGUUUAGUGGCUAAGGGGUUUCAUCAAGCGGAAGGAGUCGACUGUUUUGAUACCUUGAGUCCCGUGAUCAAACCAACUACUAUUCGGUUAGUUAUAUCCAUUGCCCUCACCAAAGGCUGGCCUUUACGUCAACUUGAUAUUAAUAAUGCUUUCUUAAAUGGUGAGCUUCAUGAGCAGGUCUUUAUGGAGCAACCAAAGGGGUUUGUCGAUCCUCAAUAUCCAAGCCAUGUCUGUCUCCUAAAAAAGGCUCUUUAUGGCCUUAAACAGGCUCCUCGAGCAUGGUUUACCACUCUCAAAACUUUUCUCAUCUCUCAUGGUUUUAAGUCUUGUCUAUCUGAUUGCUCUUUAUUUGUUCGACAAUCACCUAAUGAUGUCACCUAUAUCCUAGUGUAUGUUGAUGAUCUUAUUGUCACAGGAAGCAAUCCACAGUCCAUUAAUCAAUUUGGUGGAAUACUUCAUGGUACUUUUUCCUUGAAGGACCUUGGACCUCUUCACUUUUUCCCUGGAAUUGAAGUUACCAGAAAUAAAGAUACCAUUCUGCUCACUCAACAAAAAUACAUUCGAGAUGUUCUUCUUUGCGCCAAAAUGGCUGAAGCCAAACCUAUUUCCACUCCAUCUACCCCAGGUUCUCUUCUUGUUCAUGAUGGUGAUCCUUUCGUUGAUCCUCACCGAUAUCAGAGUAUUGUUAGGGCUCUUCAAUAUGCCACUAUUACCCGUCCCAAAAUUUGUUAUGCUGUCAACCGGGUGUGCUAGUUUAUGCAUAAUCCAUCCACCACUCAUUGGGCUGCCGUAAAGCGUAUCUGUCGAUACCUUAAAGAUCAAACCAACUACUAUUCGGUUAGUUAUAUCCAUUGCCCUCACCAAAGGCUGGCCUUUACGUCAACUUGAUAUUAAUAAUGCUUUCUUAAAUGGUGAGCUUCAUGAGCAGGUCUUUAUGGAGCAACCAAAGGGGUUUGUCGAUCCUCAAUAUCCAAGCCAUGUCUGUCUCCUAAAAAAGGCUCUUUAUGGCCUUAAACAGGCUCCUCGAGCAUGGUUUACCACUCUCAAAACUUUUCUCAUCUCUCAUGGUUUUAAGUCUUGUCUAUCUGAUUGCUCUUUAUUUGUUCGACAAUCACCUAAUGAUGUCACCUAUAUCCUAGUGUAUGUUGAUGAUCUUAUUGUCACAGGAAGCAAUCCACAGUCCAUUAAUCAAUUUGGUGGAAUACUUCAUGGUACUUUUUCCUUGAAGGACCUUGGACCUCUUCACUUUUUCCCUGGAAUUGAAGUUACCAGAAAUAAAGAUACCAUUCUGCUCACUCAACAAAAAUACAUUCGAGAUGUUCUUCUUUGCGCCAAAAUGGCUGAAGCCAAACCUAUUUCCACUCCAUCUACCCCAGGUUCUCUUCUUGUUCAUGAUGGUGAUCCUUUCGUUGAUCCUCACCGAUAUCAGAGUAUUGUUAGGGCUCUUCAAUAUGCCACUAUUACCCGUCCCAAAAUUUGUUAUGCUGUCAACCGGGUGUGCUAGUUUAUGCAUAAUCCAUCCACCACUCAUUGGGCUGCCGUAAAGCGUAUCUGUCGAUACCUUAAAGGUACACUUCACCAUGGUCUCCACUUGCGCUCAUGCACUGUCUUCGGCUUGGUAGCCUUCUUGGAUGCUGGUUGGAUCUCUGACCCUGACGAUAGCUGCUCUCAACAUGGAUUGCUCUUAACUAUGGUGGCAAUUUAGUAAGUUGGUGCUCUAAGAAACAAAAGGCAGUCGCUCGCUCUAGUACAGAAGCUGAGUAUCGAGCUCUUGCCUUUGCUACUACCGAGAUUAUUUGGAUCGAGCAACUUUUAAAGGGCAGCCCGGUGCACUAAAGCUACCGCUAUGCGCAGUUUUCGGGGAAGGGCCUCACCACAAGUGGUGUAUCGUACGCAGCCUUACCUUGCAUUUCUGCCAGAGGCUGUUUCCAAGGCUUGAACCGUGGCCUCUUGGUCACAUGGCAGCAACUUUACAGUUACUCCAAGGCUCCCCUUUGGAUCGAGCAACUUUUACCUGAAUUAAAUGCUCCUCUUACACAACCUCCAAUUCUACUGUGUGACAACUUAAGUUCUACCUUUAUCUCUGCUAAUCCAGUCAUUCAUCAACGGUUGAAACACAUCAAGCUUGACUAUCAUUUUGUACGGGAGAAAGUAGAUGAUAAUUCACUUGUUGUUCGCUUUGUUAGCUCUCAAAAUCAAAUAGCAGAUAUCUUUACGAAAGCGCUUGGUGCAACUCGUUUCAAUCUGUUGAGAUCCAAGCUCCAGAUCCACUUGCCAGGGGGUAUUAACUGAAAAUCUCUCAUAGCAGCCUUGUUCCUAAUUUCUCUAUAAUAUUAUAAUAUUGAAUAACUGAUGUAUUUUAUAUUAUUGUUAUUUGUUGUGUAUAUCUUAGUAGGUAGAUUAGAGAGAAUAUAGGAUUUGCAUUUAUCCUUUUAAAGGAUUGAUGUGCACAGUCAAAUAACAUCUUCCUCUCGGCAGAAGUUUUAACCGAGAGUCUGCGAACUCCAUUAUUCUCCCAUCGUUUAUAUUUUUACAGUGUGACACUUAAUUUUCUUUGGUGAUCAAGCAUAGGAUCGUUGUACUAAAUACUACUAAUUUUUUUUUUUUUUGAUAACCGUGGUAUCCGGGCCAGCAUGCGCGCACCUCGACUAAGUCCACGGGAUAUGUGCCACCUCCCACCAGCAACCGGUACCAGGUAACCUAAAUACUACUAAUUUUCCCCUUCCAACAUAACAGUGGCAUAUAUUGUUCUUAUGAGAACAUGUCUUUUUGCCGAUAUACUCUCUCUACGAGGUAGGGGUAAGGUCUACCCACCCCAGACCUCACUUGUGGGAUUACAGUCGGUAUGUUAUUGUUGUUGAGAACGUAUGGGCAAGAUGUUGUAAAUGAUGGUGAUUGGUGGGUCAAUGCUUGUGCAGCGGUUGAAAGGAAGUAAAAGAUAAAUCACAUGUAUCUUGUUCGCCUUUGGGAGGCACUGGUGACAAUGCUUUUGUGGUCGCCAUAUAAAUGUGUAAAUGGUCAUGUAUGCAAGUAACAUUGGAGAGACUCAAGUUUGUCUAAUUGUGUAGCUUCAAGUGGCAAACUGGGCACAGAAAUGGCCAAUAUCUACGCCCAACCCCCGAUAAAAAGUGGAGGAAGUUGGUUGUUCAGUCUUCUAGAGCCUCUUUUAACAGCCUCUUCCCCUGGAAAACAGUUAGGGUGGAAGUUGGUUGUGUUUAGUCUCGUAGAGCCUCUUUUAACAGUCUAUUCCACGAAAAACAGUUAAGGUGGAAGUUGGGUGUGUUUAGUCUUGUAGAGCCUCUUUUAACAGUUCCGUCCCCCCAGAAAACAGUUAAGGGUGGAAGUUGGUAGUUUAGUCUUGUAGUGUGUCUUUUAACAUUUCCUCCAAAUUUGUGCUUUGUUGAUUGGCCUCUUUUCCAAAUAAACCGAACCUCGAUACCACAUUCAUCUUAAGAACUAGUUCAUAAUAUGGUAUAAUUAGUUUUUGUUGAACAAAAAUUUGUGGUUUGAUUUGCUUGAGCAUACUCCUUCAUGUAACAUCUGGUUUACUUCUGUCUCUCAAACCUGAAUAAACAUGUAUCUGGCCCUGUCGUAUUUUCUCUUGUUAAAAACUCUCACAUAAGGUAGGAUACAGAGUGUUGGUCCUUGUAAAUUACUGCUAUAAACAUUACAUAAGCUGUCAUUGAAAUAUUCCUGGGAUUUAUGAUUGAAUUUCCUCCAUUAUGAAUUUGAAUUUGCAACAUAACUUUCUUCUUGCUCGUUCAACCAAAGUAGAAUGAUGUCUUUUAACUUGCCAAAUGAGUAGUAAAGACUUGUUCUUUGCUUCUGCCUUUAAAGCACAUUGUUGAUAAGAUCUUUGUUCCCCCUGGUGGUGCUAAUAGUUGUAGACUUGUAGUAGUAAUGACAUUAUUAGGCCUUCUUCCUCUGAUUUUCUUAACCUUUAAUGCCUCGCAGUCUCUUGAGAAGGAAUUUGGGUUAUAAGGGAGGUUAUCAUAUGUGUCCUCUCAUUGAAGAAUUUUCAUCAAUGAACAUUUUUCAUUUGAAUUGAUUCAAUUUCCUUCCAUCUGUCACUGCCAGAUGAUGCUAAGCAUUAUGUAAUGCUUAACUUUGCUACUGCUAAAGUUGAUGAUAAUGUUUACACAUUUAAGCUUUAACGUAGUUUUUGUUAGAGAAGUUAAGAAUAGUCUAAUGAGUAACGAUAGCUCUUCCAGAGGUUAUAAAUAGUUACCAUCUUUUCUUCCCAUAUGUUCUAGCCUUGAUGGACAUAGUUAUCUGGCAUUUGUUGCGAUAUCUGUUGCUGGUGGGAGGUGGCGGGUAUCUAAUGAAUUUAGUCGAGGUGUGUGAAAGAUGGCCUGGACACCAUGGUUGUGAAAAAAUAAAUACUUACCAUCCUGUGAGAUUACGGCAGUUUUUAUGAAUCUUGAGAGAUUAAGGUAGUUUUUAUGAAUUUAUUUGUUAUUUCAGGCAGCCAAGGACAAUUGGUCCCAAUGCUAUGGCAGUUGAUGACUUGACACAAUACAGAUGAUGGAGUCUCCACCAUCUCUAGUCCAGUUUUUGCCAGGUACUGAUCAAGAUUAUGUCUUGGCAUUGUUACUUUACAUGGACUGGUCUCAGCAGGCUUGUGAAGUUCUGGCCAUUAUUACCCACCACUAGUGUCGUAUAUCGUUGGAUUUCUUACUCCAUUUUCCCUUUAGAGGGUCUGUCGGAAACAACCUCUCUACCUUUGAGGUAGGGGCACACUCUAACCUUCCCCAUACCCCGCUAUGUGGAAUGACACUGGAUAUGUUGUUGUUGUUGUUGUUGUUGUUGAUGAUGAUGAUGAUGUUAUUUAUUCCUGCAGCAAUGAUGAAUAGUAGUACUACUAGAAUAUUAUAGUAUAGAUUGGGCAUAGAGUUAUAACCCUGUAUCCCCUCUUCAGACUCUCCCUCUCACUGAUCAGAGGAUUCAUUUUCUACCGGAAUGGACAGGCGCUUAGUGAAGACACUCAUGCCAAUUCGGAUACACGCCAAAGCAUUUCAUACAAUCGGAUUGAAGGAGUCAUCGAUCACUUGAAGGAGUCAUCGAUCACUUGAAUUUCAUUUUAGAUUCAAUUUUUUUCAUUUUUCUCUUCCAAUUUCCUACCUUUUUUUUUUUUUGUGUCGCCCAUUUUCACCUGUUACAACGAGAGAGCAUAUGAUAGUGAUGAUCAUCUGCAGAAUUGAGUUGGGGAUAUGGUUUUAAUUCAGUGUUGGGUUUUGAAGCGAUGUACUUGGAUUUGUGCAAAUUAGAGAUAUGUAGCAACUCUAGAUUGCUGAGAGAGGCUUUUCUUUGACAUUGUUUAUCAAGAUGUUUGUGUAAUCUAUUCUCCAUACAUGCUUAUAAAGAGACUUUUUGCCACAAUGUGUUGCAAGUUAAUUACUUGUAUAAUGGGCGUAAUAUCUUCACCAAAGUAUAAUAAAUAAGGUAUUAUACAAGUUAAUUACUUGUAUAGCAGGCGUAAUAUUUGGAUUGAAGUAUAACAAAAGGGGUACUUUAGAUCGACAUAUGAGGCAUAUAUUUAACUAUUUUGAAUUGCACUGAUGUAUGUUUGGGCCCAUUUCACAGUAAAUAUUCAGAGGAUUCUGUAGAAUGGAAUUUUUGGAGUAAUCGAUAAAAGCUUUAAAUUUCCUCAAGAGAUAACUUCGGUCUUAUUUGGCUUAGAUUUAUUUUGUAGCGUUUGAGUAAAAUAAAAAGAUAGUAUCGUUAAGCGCUUACUUUUAAGCAAAUAAAGUUAAAAAUAAAUCUUUCUAAUUGUACUGAUGUAUAUUUGGCCCCUUUUCAAUGUAUAUAGUGUAGAUUGAAUAAGGAUAUUAUAGAAGGGGAGUUUUGGACCAACUGUCAUCGUGAUGGAGUAAAAUGUAUAUAAUGUGAUUCAAUAGUCAAUGCACUGAAAAAAUAUGAGGUUUUCAGCUUUAAAUUUCCACAAGAGAUAACUUCAAUCUUGCUUUGCUUAAACUUAUUUUGCAGCGUUUGAGUAACAUAAAAAGAUAUCAUUAAGUUAACAUAAAAAGACUUUUAAGCAAAAAAAAAAAGAUAAAAAUAAAUAAAAAAUGGUAAGAUAAAAAUUUUAACUCACACUUACAAAUCAAAGCUAUAAAUCCUUCCAAACACAGCUCUCUUCACCUGAUUAGUCUCAAGUGCAAUCAAAACGUAGUCACUUGACUUGCUAUAUAACGCUCCACCACAGAAGAAGCAAAAUAUCAAAUUAAAAUUUGAGGUAAAUAUAUUACCUUGAAUUAAAACAUUCUUUCUAGAACUAAAAAAAAUAAAAAUAAAGUAGAAUUUCAAACGUAAUAUAUCUAAGUUGAAUCUUCGAAAUUUUCGCUCCAGCAGGUAUCUCCUUUCUUCCUUUUGAUUAUGACUGUUGUAUUUAGCGAAUUUAUUUAAAUUCGUUUGAUUGAAUUAUGGAUGGUAAAUUGUUGUUAUUUUGCUGCUGCAUUCUAAUUUAUUUUGUUGUUGUUUAGUAAAUUUAUUUAAAAUCGUCUGCUGGUAAUUUGGAGUAAGUAUAUGAACUGCCGUCAAUCUGUUUGUGAAAAUGCCUUUUCCUUUGAAUUGAUUAAUUAUAUCUAAACUAACAUUUUACUACUCACUGUAAUUGAAUUUGAUUCAUUGGGUCAUGGUUACAACAAGGACAACAACAUACCCAGUGUAAUCCCGCAGGUGGGGUCUCAGAAUGGUAGAAUGUAUGGACCUUACCCCUCUACAAAUCAGUGGUGGAUCCAGGAAUUUGAUGAAGAGUGUGUAAAUUUUCUUUUCAGUCGCGUUAGACGUGUGCAACAUUAAAUACACACUCAUAAUAACUAACGUUUAGCCUAGGUAUACAACACAGACGAAGGGUGUGCAUCUAAUCACGUUUUGAUAUAGGUAACUCCGCUGAUGCUCUACUUCGGUGAGGUAACCCUUGGCUCAAGGGUCAUGGUUCUUUCAAGAAACCAUUUUUGGGGUUCUUCGGGGAAUUUAUUACCGUUCUUUUUAAAUUUAUUUACAACAAGCUAGAUUUGUGAAUAAUUUUUUUUUUUUAUAAGAACUUCAAUUGUCUUUCUAAUUUUUUUUUCGCACUGUUGGUGAAUGGUUGCUUCCUGUAUGAAACCUUUAUACUUUAUCAAUUGAUGGGGUUUCUGACUUCCUUUGUGUAUUUAGCAGGGGUUGUAUAAUGGCUUUAAGGCGUAUGCUUGGGUAUUCGGAUGGAGAGUUGAUGAGAUCAGAUGCAAAACCCUGCUCAAGGCUAAUGAGACAAACAGCAGGGAUUUUUUCUGUUGGAGGAGCAUUGGGAUUUUGGAUUCUUUGCAGAUUGCACUAUGGUUAGUUAUAUAUUUGUCGUUCGAUCCAUUUAAAUCUCCUGAUGGCUUAUCCUCGUUUUUUCAAGUUUUUUUGAGUUGUUUUUAAGUUUCAAGAGCUUUCGAGUAUAUCAUGUUAUUUUGGACCUAGGAAUUCAAUGUGCAGUUUUUGCAAGGAGAAUAAAAUGAGAAGAGAAAUGCAGUAAACGAAAUUCCGAUCUCUAAAUUCACAACAAUUAGAACGUGUGUUUGUUUGAUAGAUCUCCAAGUAUUGAGUAGUGUGGUUGCUUUAUCAAGUACUAAAAAGGCUUAAUGCCAAUUAUAGGCAUGUUGGUUUGAGAAAGAAAACUUGAUAAAAUUUGUCCUCAGUAUAUGAAGUACUGAUAGAGCUUGUUGUUCUGCAAGUGGAUUGGAUUGUCGAGAUUUCUUUUACCUUUUCUUUUCAUCAGCUAAACUUUCAAAGUAUUCUCAAGUUUAAAGUUGCAACUUCUAGGCCGUUAAAUCUUCCGCCAUGUGUUUUGCACGCUGUAUCCUUGACAUCCUUAACUUACAAGCAAAAGGGUCGAUCAAUUGAUUAAUCUUCAUCUAUUUUUUGGGUAAGGAUGGGCAUUAUGACUGUUCAAUAGACUUGAACAAUGUUUUGGUUGUUGUAUAGGCAAUGGGGUGGAAAAGAGAGGAAUUGGGCAGCAGAGUUGUGCUUCUUAGUUUGUCUUCUGCCAGUCUGGAAGUAUAAUGCAAGAAAUACUUCCCGAGGUUAAAGAAGAAAGCAUAUUGGGUGAGACAAGGUGGAAAGAGAGAGUCAAGAGGACAGUAAACUUAGCGUGCUUUUCAUAUAAGGAGUUAAGUUCUUAUUGACCUCUGAUUAUUUAGAUCUUUUUGCUGCUAGAAAAGCUUUAAAUGCAGCAACGAAGAGACAAAUAUCACCAGCAUCCUAUAGACUUGGGAAUUUUAUGUGCUUGCAUGUAUUUGACAUUCUCAAUUAGUGAGUUUUGAUAUUUGUACGUCAUCCCAAAGUUGUUGAUUGACUGCUGGAAUGAUUUUUGAAUUUUGAUAGAUGAGAAUAUUGUUGCAUCAAUUUCCUGUAUUCUACAAUUCUUUGUGCUUUUCUCCUCUCAAUCCUCCCUCCUUCGACUUCGUUGAUUAGUACUUUAGUACUGAGCUCUGAAGGGCAUGCUUUCUAGAUUAUCUUGUCUUGAUUAUUGCACGUCAUUCUUUUUCUGAUAUUGCAUCUCGUACCCUGAUAAAACAGGUCCUAGAAUCACAGUUCCAAGAAGUCUUAGAUGGGCAACUUGUGGGGCUAUUUCCGUGAGCUCAAGCACAGCUUUGCUAGUUCGUCUAUUUAGUCCUGAAUGUGAACCACAAAACAUAGCUGCCUACGAUAAGAAGGGAUGAUGUUGCUUUUCUUCCGAGAUCAGUAUGUAAAACUUAAGCAUGAUGAUGUCCUAUUUCAUUUAUGUCAAAGCCAUUUAAGGCUUCUCCUUCCACAGGCAUCACACGUACGGCUGCCUGUGUUAGCAAGGGGAGAACACGCAGCCGUAAAUGCUAAACUAUUUUCUGAGAGCCUUUAUUUGCUACCAACUGUUGUAUCAACUUCUAUCGAGUAACAAUGCUGCAAGCAGUUGUGAAGUGAUGCUUAAUCUGUCUAAGUUUUCUACUUACAACCAAUUCUGUCAUAUUGUGUGAAUGAUUUAUCAUUUGGCUUAAGCUUCCAAGACUACACUUCAGUAAGAUCUUACUACUGUUUCUUUAAUUUUUAAAUAUUGAGAUCAAAUACAUUUCAUUAGUUGGUCUACUCGAACAUUAAGACCCUGUCUGGACAUGAUUUGAAAUCAGCAAUUAGUAAUUUGAAGUUUGAAGUUUUGUUUGGACAUGUAAUGUGAAUUUUGUAAUUUGUAUUUUUUCGCUCAUAAGCAUGAAAAUUCUGUAAGUUGUGAAAACUACGAAAAUUUUCAAUUCUCAUAUAAUCUUACCAAAUGUGGAAAUCAUAGUUCAUAACACAUGAUAUCAGAAUAUCUUUAGGUGCCGCAUUGAAUAGAUCACAUAUCUCCUUGUCCUUUUUAUAAAUAAAUAUUUAUGAUUACAAACUUUUAAAUAUACAUAAUCAUAUAAUUACAAAGUUUUAACUAUAUGCAUAACUUUAUAAAGAUUGAUUAGUCAUUUCAUAUGGCACAAUAAUUUCCAUGCUGAGCACGAGUUUCUAUUUUUUAAUUUUAAAAAAGUUUAAGAAUGAUGCGAUUUUUCUUGCAAAAAAUAAACUUAUGGAUUAAGUUUUAUAUUUUUAAAAAUUAAAAUCGCAUUUGUAAUUUCAAGUCCUGCAUCUUAGAUUUGAAAUUUGAAAUCAUUAUAUCAAAUCACAUAUUUAAAAGCUAAUUUCAAAUCACGACUUCAAAUUGCAUAUCGAGAAAAUUACUUAUAAAUCUUACAACAAAUACUAGCUCUUUAAUACUUACUCCCUCCGUUUAUAUUAUUUUUCAUAUUUAAACUUGAAAUGUUUAUUAAAAAAUAAUAACUAAAAUAAUUGUCUUAUCAUGCUAUAUCUAUUAGAUGAUGAUAUUUAGAGGUCAAGUAAUUAAUAUUUAAACUAUCAAACAAAAGUGAAAAUCUAUUUUUUGAAAUAGUUAAGAAGCAAAAGUGAAGGAAAUACAUCAUCAUCCAUUUAAUUGUUGGGAAACUACAAGGUGUAUUUUCGUCAAUUCAACCAAAUCCUCAUUUUGGCCAUAUGCUUGCGUCACUGAAGUGAGCAGAGUGUGUCCACAACAAUGGGGACCGCCGGAGCUUUCUUCUCCGUUCCUCUGAACUACCAAUUCUACCGCCGGCCACUUCAUUUUCAACCUCUCUUCCUCCUCCCUAUCACUUGGCCACUCACACCUUUCUCUCGUAAACAAGUAAGCUUUUACCUUCCUCAUUCUCCACUUGUGUUUUCAAUUAUUAGUAAUUUUAGAAAAGGCCACCUCCUCCGUGCACUGAAUCUCCCGCUAUACGCACGGUCCGUGGAAGGUCAAUUUUACUAUUUAUGAACUCUGUUACUUUUUUUUUUUUGUUUUUUUUUUUUAGAUUAUUAAAUUAUAUUGCCGUCGAAGCUCCGGUUCAAGGCUCUUGUUAACUCCUCCGCGUGCUUUACUUUCAAGGCAAUCACGAGGUGUUACUUUUUAAGUGCUUUACGAUUUUUCUCUUUAUUGCUGGUAGUUUUACUGUGAAUAUUCUUAUGAAUGUGUGAAAAAAAAUUAACUACAGAGGGGAGAGGCAGCAGUGAAGUUGAUCCGGAUCUUCGGUCCGUGCUUGAACUUGCUACUGAUUCUGAACUGUAUGAACUUCAAAGGAUUUUAUUUGGUCCAAGGUAAUAAGCAGUUGCAACACUUGGUAGCUCAUUAGGAAGUAAGUUAUUCAUAAAUAAUGAUAUGUUUGCAAUCUAGGAACCUGCAUAACUGAUACAUGUAUAAGUUAUGAGGGAACUUGUGUAUUAUUUUAUGUGCGGUAGAAGAUGGAAUAACUAAUACCUGAAUUACUAAUAUUUGCAUAAUUCUAACCAGCUACCAAACAAACCUCCUUUUUUAUUGAAAAAUAAGGUGCUUUGCUCAUUCUAAACAACUUUUCGUUGUGUAUCUUUUAUGUUUCAGUUACUUUAGCCCAAUGUUGAAGUCUGUAACAAAGAGAACUGAAUUUGAUUGUGUUAUGGUCGGAGAAGACCCGGAGGAGAGAGCGGAUUUUUUGUCAAUGCUUGAAUCAAGAUUUUUAUACCUUGCUGCUGAUGCACGAUCCACAUUGAGGUUGCUCUAUUUCUUUUAUUUAGAAUACUUGUAUUUUAAUUAGAACUAGGUUAUGUAAUCUAGUUCUGUGCUUUACUAUGAGUUUGUGUGGUAUCUCGUGACUUGAGCCGGGUCUAUCGGAAACAACCUUUCUACUUCUUUAGAGGUAGAGGUAUGGACUGCGUACAUCUUACCUCCCCCAGACCCCACUAGGUGGGAAUACACUGGGUUUGUUGUUGUUGUUGUUGUAAUUAGAACUUUAAAAUGUUCUCAGUCCAAUUAGACCAAUGCAUGUUAUCCUCAUUGUUCGAACCUGAUCUUUGUGAUAGUAUUUGUGUUGUUUAUGUAAAUUACAUGGAUUCUCUCUGGAAAUUAUCAAUCAUCAUAACUCAAGCUAUUGACAGCUCAUUAUUAAAGGAUUCUGUGGGUUCAAAUGGGAGUGAUGUUUAUUGGUUGCUUGUGGAAAGGUAGACUUUGAUAAUGAAACCGAAAUAACUGGUGGUCGUCAUCCGAUUCAUCUCUAGUUUGAUGAUUUUUGAAACUGAAAUAAGUGGUGAUCAUCACCAGACUGUUCUCUAGUUUCAUAUAAAGAAUGGUUUGCCAUUUCCUAACCUUCAGCAUGGUUCGUUUUUUCCGUUCUUAUUUUGUUUCAGUAUAUGAGUGAUUGAUGUUGUUUGGUAUUCAAUCUAGGGGUAGGAGACCAUCAUAUAGGGAGGUAUUGCUUGGUGUCAGGGAAAAACUAAGUAUAAGAUGCUCAGCCAAAUUGUCUGCAGAAGACCUGGAAGCUGAGAUUUUUCUUCAUCUGCUUCAAGAGUACUCAAGGUAAAUCAUUUUCCUUCUGUUUUCUUUGAAAAAGGAUGGUGUGACUGAGGAGAGAGACUUUCUUUAUAUUGUUUUGUUAUUUUGAGAUGUUUAUGCUAGUUAUUUCACAUACUCUCUCAGUCUCAAUUUUUAGAUGAUGCUAAUAUUUUAGUAGGUGUAAAAUAUAUAAUGCUUAUUUGACUCGUGUUAUACAAAUAAUAAAGAAGAUUUUCAGAUAGUGAUUGAAGAAUUAGUUUGAUAGAAAAAUACUACCCUACAAUUAUAAAAGUUUAAAUUGGAUUAGUAAAAUGAAUUUAAGUCUGAAACUUGUGAAAGUUGUAUAGAAUGAUGUUACUAGUGGAUUUCAUCUUUAAAAAAAUGAUGUUACUAGUGGAAUGUUGUGAACAUUUUAGGUUGUCGGAAAAUAGAAAUUGUCCUAUAAAUUGGGACAUUUAGAUAGUUUUUAUGGGUUUCUCCCUCUCGAUAUCAUUUUCCUUUCCGAUUAGUUCCAUUGGGUUCGUCAAGUUUGUCAGAUUGAUUGACACAACAAUUGACCAGUUAUCCCUUCUAUUAGAGUGGGUGAAAGUCCCUCAUUGGUUGGGUAAUAAACUGACAGUUUGCUUAUAUGAACUUGGGCUAUCCUCCCCUCAUGAGCUAGCUUUUGGGGUUGAGUUAAGCCCAGGUGCCGUAUCUUUACAUGAUAUCUGUGCCAGGUCCUUCCCCAAUUUGGUUCCCGGUCCACGCUCUAGUUGCGCCUGGGCGUGAGUGGGGUGGGUGGGGGGAUUAGAGUAGGUGGAAGUCCCACAUUGGUUGGGGAAUGGAUUGAUGGUUUGCUUAUGUGAACUUGGGCAAUCCUCCCCUCAUGAGCUAGCUUUUGGGGUUGAGUUAGUCCUAGGUGCCAUAUCUUUACACCUUUAUUCUCCAGUUUCUAUGUAGGAGGUUUCUUUUGAUUUCUUCUUUUGCUGUGAUUUAUUCUCUUUCUUCUCUUUAUUGGAAUCGUGACUCUUAUAUGGAGCUUAUGUGACGAAUAUAUAUCUUCAACAGCUCAGAAGAAAGCUUGGAUGCUUCUGAUGGGCAUGGUGGUCUAGAAUUUGGGCUUAGUAAGUGGAAAGUACAAGCUGCUGCCGCAUUAAAAGCUGGGGCAGAAGGGGUCCGUUCAAUAAUAUUAAAGGUUCCUACUUAUAUUUUGGAAACUUGUAGUGCUCUUGAGCCUUUUGGUUAUGCUUUAGCUAACCCGUUCUUUGUGUUUUAGGGUGGCGGGGUGCUAACAUUGGGGAAGAUAUACAGUGGGGUAUAAUUGAUACCUUGUGAAUUCUGCAAUUUGUUUUCCUUAUCCUGUACUGUCAUCUUGUUUAAUCACGGAAAAUGUUUACUGCUUGUCUAGUUAGCCAGGAGAUUUUCUGGAAAGAUGCUAUUGGAAGCCGCCAACUAUCAGAUAAGUAAGGAGGUCCUUAAAAAGGUGCUUAAAAGUCCUAAGUUUGUUGGGGACAAUAGCUGACUCUAGACAUUUUAAAUGGGUCUCUUUACUGUUCCUGAGCCAAUUGAUGUGCUCUAUUCCUAAAUCAGUUAGUGUGCUGUAACAUUUGAAUCUAUAUGCCUUUUUAAGUGUGAAAUACGAUCUUAAUUUGGCUAACCAUUUAUAUAAUUAUAUAUAUAAAUGGUUUUUGGCAUCUCUUUAAUCCAGUUUUCUUGUUUAAGGAUUUUGUUUGAGAAUGAAUGCAUCCGAAAGUUGAGUAGUCUUGGCAUUGUGAUGGUACAUUAAGACUUUCUUGGAUACAUCUGCUAAAGUAAGGUUUGUUGGAUGUCAAGAAAUUUGCUAGAAAUGUGGAUUUGAGAAAAUUGUAAUAAGUAGAGAUAAAUAAAUGAAAUAUCAUUUGUUUCAUGCAUUUGUUCAGAAUAAAAGGAAAGCUUAAAAUCAAGAGGAAAUCAGUUUCCUAAAUUAAUCCUGCAAAUUUCGCAAGACUUAAUUUGAAGGAAAAUCCUUUACGAUGGAUUUUCUUGAUCAUAAUUUCUAAAAUGUUCCAGGAUAUGAAAUACAUGAAAAAGUUCAAGGUUAGAAAGUUGACUUUCCAGAAAAUUGCUUUUCAUAUGUAGCAACCAAACCGUGUUUUAACAAAAAUCUCUUUGCUGGAAGUAAAAAAAGAGUGGAGACAGUUCUUUCACCAACAGAAGUUCUUUGGCAAACCAAAUACAAAUAAUAAUCAAGUCUCGGCUGCAUUGCAUUGAUUAUUGGAUGAUUUAUAAUAACUAACUUGUGAUUCUCUCACAUGACUUUCAUGGCUUCACGUGACUCUUGUUGAUUUUAGGGUGGAGAAUUGGCAGCUCUUAACCUGGAGUCCAGAUUGGCCUUGCUGGCUGCAAGAAAGGUUUUUGAAUCUUAUGAAUAUGCAUUGAUUUGAGUGUUUACGAUUCUGCUUCACUACAGAAGAUUACUGUCUUUAGUUGUUUUACUGCUCCUAAAGUCCAACAGAGACCUCUAUAGAAAGAGUGGUCAUAUUUUUUCUUUUUCGUGAAUGAUGCAACCUCAUACUCCCUAAUUUUCUGGAAUUCUCCACACUUUGUAUGUGCAUUUUAGUUGAAGGUAGUUAAUCAUUCUAAAGCUUAUAAAUACUGAAUUAUAGGUUAAAUGACAUCCUCAUACAGAUCAACCAAGAUAAAUGAAAAAAUAAAAAUGUAGACUUGGAAAGACCCUUCAAUAAUAUAAGUUCCUGAAACCUAUAGUGAUGGAGUUUGUAAUUCUCUUUCUGGCUCCGAUUCGAAAACUAUGAUUUCUUUAGAGUUCCAAGUACAUGCUAACAUUUCAUUGUUAUUGUUUUUUGACAGGGCUUAGCUGGUGCUGCCUCCCGUUAUUUUGGCUUAAGGAGCAUGAUGACAUUUCUUGGCCCAAUGUAAUCUCAUUUCUGUAGGCACUCUGCCAUGUCUUUCACUAUUUUAGUUUCUCAAAACUAUUUGCACACUUGUUUAUAUCUGCUUUAGUGAUCACUUAGUUCUUCUCCUUCCUUCCUUUUAACUAAAGUUUCUGUAGCAUUAGUGUCAACUGUCAAUUUUAGAAGUUCUGUCAUCAGAGUACUAAUCUCUUUUCUAUAAAGAGAGGUACUGGAACAAAAAUCCUCUUCCUUCAGUUGUAGGAUCGACGGCAGAUGUGUUGCUCCCAUUCAUGUCAAUCCACUAUGCUCGAUGUGUUUAGCUGGACCAGGUGAUUUUUUUAGAUUUAAGAGUCCUCAUCUAAUAAAAAAGAGAAUCAUGCCAUUAGAAAAAGGGUUCAACAACUUAUCUACUUAUAAGUUUGAGAACCCUCAAUGUUAGAAAACCUUAAGAUGGUCAAAUAAAAGGGCUGAAUCAAAGUUUGGAUGGUUAGAUGGGUGGAUUCAAUAAUUUGGGUAUGAUUCAACCUGGUCAAAGUUUGUUAGGGUUAAAUGAGUUAGGUCAAGUUGGACGAAGCGGUGGGUCAUAACUAAUGGAGCAUGUAUUCCUAUUGAUAACUGAGAUAUGGAAGAUCAGUUUAGUGAUUUAGUUUCUAUUUAGGAGAAGAUCACAAUUCUUUAUUAGUUGAUUCUUUCCUUAUUAGUUCAUUCUCUACAUUUAUAUGGUAUCAAAGCCAAAAUACUCUUAACAGAGUCCAAGAUCCAUUUUUUUUUCUUCUUCUUCUCUUUGCAGUGAUGGCCUCUUAUGCCCCCGUCAUUAAUGCCGACGCAGCCCCUAUCCUCAAACACUUGAUUCAAUUUAAUCCAUCAUCCCAGCUGCCCAUUAAACUGACUGGCAGCACUAAUUUCACCAUCUGGAAAGCCCAGAUUGUCAUGUUGCUUCAUGGCCAUGACCUCUAUGGUCAUCUUGAUGGCACCAUGCUGCCCCUGCUCAAACAAUAACAACUAACGGCCUUGAGACAGCCAACCCUGCGUACAAGGAUUGGUUUCGUCAGGAUAAAUUGAUCCAAAAUGCUCUCAUGGCCUCUGUAGAUGCCACAAUCGCACCCACGGUAGCUUCUGCUAUCAACUCCAAAGCUGCGUGGGAUCAAUUUCACACUUCCUUUGCAAACAAAUCGCAAACCCGCGUCUUCAGCCUUCGUCACCAUCUCAAUCGAGUCAGUAAGGACAACAAAUCCAUUGCCGAAUAUAUGCGAGAGAUUCGCUCUCUCUCUGACAGGUUCACCCUUCAAUAAUGAAGAACUAGUGGUGAAAAUACUAAGUGAACUCGGGUCAAAAUUCCGCGAGAUCUCUGCAGCCAUACGGGCAAGGGACUCUCUUAUUAGCUAUGAAGAACUUUUUGACAAGGUUCUUGAUCAUGAACUUUUCCUCAAAUAUGAGGACCUCAAGAAGACUUCUACCCAGAUCACAGUAGCUGUUGCUCAACGAGUGCCAAAUCCUCCAUCAGCUCCAUCAGCCACACGCAACAAUAAACGCCCAUCCAACAACAAUAACUGGCGUCCCCAAUACAGGUAGCCUAAUCAAAGCACUCAUUCUCAGUAUCUAACGGAUAAUUCCCAGUGGCGCAAUCCAAUGGAUAAUUCUCAGUGGCGUAACUUCCGACACCAUUCAUCACGAGUACGUUGUCAACUUUGUGACAAAUUUGGGCAUACAACAAAUGUUUGCCGCUCUCGGUCCCAUAACCACUUUGAAGCAAAAGCAAAUUUUGCCGCGCACUCAACACCGAGUGACCCUGGAUUCUUGACUCAGGUGCUUCUCACCACAUUACCUCGGAUACCAACUCAUUCCAUAAUGUUCAAGAAUUCAAAGGUCUGGACGCAGGGACAAUGGGCUAUGGUAAUGUGAUUCCGAUUACUCAAACUGGUAAUACUCACUUAACUGCAUCAAAUACUGCCUUCAAACUCUCUAGGAUUUUGUGUGCUCCAGCUAUCAAACGCAAACUCAUUUCAGUUCAUCAAUUUUGCAAAGAAAAUCUAACCUCCAUAGAAUUUUUUCCUUUUACUUUUCUUGUGAAGGAUUUGACUACGGGAGCACCUCUUCUGCACGGCCCGAAUAAAGCAGGUCUCUAUGAAUGGCCGUCUCUGACUCGACCAAACAUCAACAUUGUCAUUGUUGGACCUUCCUUGCAUCUUUGGCAUCGAAGAUUGGGCCAUCCCCACUCUCGAGUUUUGCUUUCCAUUUUAAAUAGUUCCAGUCUUUAAUAUUCUUCAAAAGACAAGUUUACUUAUUGUAAUUCUUGUUGCUGCAAUAAAGUUCAUAGAUUUCUCUUUUAUUUCAAACACUUUGUCCAACAAACAUCCAUUAGAAAUAAUUUACAGUGAUUUAUGGGGUUCAUCCCUGAUCUCUCUAUUGAUAAAAAAUACUACUAUUGUCUAUUUGUUGAUCAGUACACCAAAUACAUUUGGUUGUACACAAUGAAAAACAAACAUGAAGUGCAAAAACACUUUCAAAGCUUACAUCCUGUGCUUGAAAAAUAUUUUGGUCACAAAAUUCUCACACUUUACACUGAUGGAGGCGGAGAAUAUAAAGUCAUGGAACCAUACCUUAAUUCUAAUGGCAUACAACACCUUGUCUCUCCCCCCCCAUACUCCUCAAAGGGUUGCCUUGGCUAAAAGACGUCAUCGACACCUUAUUGAGACUGUCAAAACGUUGCUUCAUCAAACAAGUUUGCCCUGCAAUUUUUGGACAUUUGCCUGCCAUCAUGCUGCCUUUCUCAUUAAUCGCCUACCCACUGCCACUCUUGAUAACAAGUCCCCAUUUGAAGUUCUUUUCAACAAAACACUGCUUAUGAAUCUCUCCAUACAUUUGGAUGUCUAUGCUACCCAUGGUUACGACCCAAAAUAAAUUAGAACCAUAUUCCAAACCUUGUGUUUAUCUCGAUUUCUUCGUCACUCAUCAUUGCCAUCAGUGUUUUGACCCUACCAGCUCUAAACUUUUCUCUCAUGGGAUGUAAAAUUUUUAGAAGUUUUCCCAUUUGAUAAUAUUUUUUCUCACUUGAAACAAAGCUUUUCAUAUUUAAAUUGGGGAAACACUUUACAACAUCAAAAUCCAGAUGUGGAAAUUAGUUCCACCGUUAUUAAUCCAGAUCUCACCUUGCUUCCUCCCACUAUUCCGUUCAGGCCAGGUGCACGCCAAGAUACCUGCUCAGUUCGCGCCGCGCAGGGAAAUAACCCAGAGAGUCAGAUCAUUUCACCACUCCGGAAUCAGGUAAUCCUUAAACUACUUCCCUAUCCCGUGUUAUUGAUACCCAACCAUCCCACUUCAUAUUUCAAAGCCAACCCCCUACCCUCUCUCUGCAUCCUCACUCUCUAUAUCACCGACCACCAGUUACUCAUGUCUAUCAGCGUCGCCCAAAGCCAUCACGAUCCCUCCAUGCGGACAGAGGUGCGAGCAGUUGCUCUCUUGACUUGCCUCCACCCACUGAACCCAUAGUUCAAGUUCCACAAAUAGAGCAAAAUCAUGUAGUAACAAGGUCGCAAAAUAACAUUGUCAAGCGACGAAAAAUUGUUGACUACACUGCCCAAAUAACCCAGUCUGUACCCACCAUUUUACCUGUAACCCACAAACAAGCACAAAAAUUACCAUAUUGGAGAGAUGCUAUGCAGGCUGAGUAUGAUGCACUAAUAAAAAACCAGACUUGGGAGUUGGUUCCACCGAACCACACCAGAAAUGUUGUUCCUUGCAAAUGGCUAUUUCGAAUCAAAACAAAGCUUGAUGGCUCCAUUGAUAGGUACAAAGCACUUUUGGUUGCAAAAGGGUUCACCCAAAUGCCUGGGGUUGAUUUUCAUAAAACAUACAGUCCAGUGGUUAAACCAACCACAAUUCGGACCGUUCUCACCGUCGCUUUACAAAAAAGUUGGCCCUUACAUCAAAUAGAUGUCAACAAUGCUUUUCUUCAAGGGAAGCUUCAGGAAGAUGUCUAUAUGACCCAACCACCCGGGUAUGAAAGUUCAGCACAUCCAGACUAUGUUUGUCAUCUCAAAAAGGCUAUCUACGGACUGCGACAAGCUCCUAAAGCUUGGUAUGAUGCACUCACUGAUUCUCUGAUCAGAAUGGGAUUCCGUAUGUCUGAAUCUGAUAAUUCUUUGUUUCUUCUGCAUAACUUAGGAGUAACUAUGUAUAUACUAAUAUAUGUGGACGACAUCAUACUCACGGGCAGCAAUGAAUCACUCCUUCAAGAAGUCAUUUCUUCUCUUUCCAAAAGAUUUUCUCUUAAGUAUCUUGGCUUACUGCACUAUUUCUUGGGCAUUGAGGUACACAGGGAUGCCAACAGUUUGUUUCUUAGCCAAUCUAAGUAUAUUCAAGAGGUAUUGCAUGACACUUAGAUGCAGGAUUGCAAAGGCGUUCAGUCCCUAAUGAGAACAUUUGAGGAGGCAGUACUGGUAGAUGACGGUGCCCCUAAAACUGAUGGCAAAGAGUAUAGGAGUGUACUUGGUAAACUUUAGUAACUUUCCUUUACCAAACCGGAUAUCACAUAUUCGGUAAACAAGCUUACAACUCUCCUUCCGUGGUUCAUUGGAAGGCCGUUAAACGCAUCCUUCGGUACCUCAAAGAAACAUCCCAGAAUGGUAUUCAUAUUUCUCCACAUCAGUCCACUGAUCUUUAUGCCUAUGCUGACGCUGAUUGGGCGGGUGAUAUUAAUGAUCGCCGCUCAAUCUCUGGUUACAUUGUUUUUCUAGGUACGACUCCUAUCUCCUGGUGUUCUCGCAAGCAACCUACCGUCUCCCGAUCCUCCACUGAGGCUGAGUAUAGGGCAGUUGCCUCUGCCUUGUCUGAAACAAACUGGAUCACUCACUUGCUCAGGGAUCUUCAUGUGCCACUCUCUGUUGCACCUACAGUACUUUGUGAUAACCUUGGGGUCACAUACAUUGCUGAAAACCCGAUACAUCAUACAAAAAUGAAGCACCUUGAGGUCGAUCUUCACUUUGUUCGCAAUCAAGUUCGGAAUGGCCUAGUCCGAGUAUCACACAUCCACUCCACUGAUCAAGUUGCAGAUCCACUCACCAAACCAUUGUCUAAGCUAGCCUUCCAGCGGAUGCUACCCAAGUUAGGUGUUGUCUCGUCACAACUAACUUGAGGGGGGCAUAAUGGAGCACGUAUUCCUGAUUGAUAACUGAUUGAUAACUGAGAUGUGGAAGAUCAGUUUAGUGAUCUAGUUUCUGUUUAGGAGAAGAUCACAAUUCUUUAUUAGUUGAUUCUUUCCUUAUUUGUUUUGUGUUCUCUUGCAUAUAUACACAUACAUUUCAAUGAAAUCAAAACAACUUCAUCUUCAUUCUCUACACUUAUAAUAACCCAGAUCACCUAGCUCAUGACAAUUUUCCAUUUGUUUGUCAGUUUUGUUAUACAAAAACAAAUCCAAGUGGCACAAAUUUUCUUUUCUUUAUAUUGAGAAAGAGUCUGUGAGCACAAACUAAGCCAACAGAAAAGUUUCUCUAGUAUUUUGAUAGUCAUCUUAUGAUUAAAUUGGGCUACCUUGAUAGUCAAAGUUGUCUAGAGACUAUUUUAACUUUUUUGAUAACCGACUUUUUUAGAUUUGUUAAUUAGGUUGUCCAAAUUCACCUAUCAAUGAAUUUAUGUCCAACCCGAGCAAUCCAAACUUGUACAGGUUGCGCUGACUCAUUUAUCUGUUCUACAUUUGACACCCAGAAAGCCGUAGUUUGUCUUAAUAGUCUGGAUUCAAAGGAAGUGGAAUGAAUACUGAAAAUUCUUAUUGCUUGCUGAACUAGUUUGGAAUUGAGCUGUAGUUUAAUUCUUGAGUUGUUUUAACUUAUUCUAUGUUAUGUAAGUACUUGGACUACCAAGGGCUCAUUUGGUAUUGAAUUCAAGGAUAAAUGAAUCCUUAAAUUUUUUCGCAAUAUUGCAAGCAAUUUGAAUGUUUUGCUGCAGCUAUUUCCAUAUUCAUUUCACUUGGAAAAGAUGUUUCUUUUUUCGAACUGGCUCUGUAGGUUUGCACUCUUAGGAAACUCCUUUCAAAUAUGGUUUCACUUUUUUAUUUAAUCUCUUCUUUUGAUGUUGUUUCCCAAUUGCCGUCUCUAUUAAUGAAGAGGGUGGAACAAUGUAUUCAGUUCUCAAGUUUUCUGGUUUAUAUACUUCUGUUAUUCUUCUUACACUGCCUGUGACCACAUUGUAUCUGAUAUCUUUAUGCAGUCUGUGGGGAACACUUCUAGCAGAUGUUGUCAUUCAAAUGCUUGGAACUGAUUAUGCUAGAAUCGUGCGAGCUAUUUAUGCAUUCGCACAGGUAAUGUGCUAUCAUGCUUGAAUCUUCAAAGAUAGGAGUGGAGCUCUUCCAAAAUGGGGGAAGAGGUUGUAAGAUUAAUUUUUCUUCGAUUAUUCUGAUUAGAGAUUUGUUGUUUGUUUAAGAUAAAUGUGACAUUUACCUCUAGUUUUAUAGGCCCUAACUGAACUUAAAUUAGUAUCGGAAUGAGAUGGGCUGAAUAGAGUAGAAUUUAUAUGGAGGAUUUAUAUAGCUAACUCCAGCUAGUUUGAGAACAAGGUGUAAUUGAUUGUUUGAUGGAAGAAAAAAAAUAGGGCAGCCCGGUUCACUAAAGUUCCCGCUAUGUGUAGGGUCCGGGGAUCGUUUGAUGGAAGGAUUUUCAAAAUAAGUUCAAUACAAGUUAGUAAUAUUAAAUUAGCAACAUUGUAAAACUUAAUGCUAAAUAAGUUGAACUAAGAAUUAAAGGACUUUAUCGUUCUCAUUUUGGUUACGUAACUUUAAGGUUAUUUUUGAAAAAAGAAGAAGAAAAUAUUAAGUCUUUCUACCGUAGCAAAUCAUAUCUUUCAUCUUUUGAAGUGUGCUAGUCACAUGAAUAGUAGUUAGUCUUUUGGAGUUAAUUGUAUCAUCUUCCAUAUAGAUUAUUGUUGUUGUUGUGAUUCAUGUACUCCCAAGCAUAAAGUUUCCACUGCCCUGUUCAAAUCCCCAUGAUCUUUGUUUUUUUGUUUCUUUUCUUCUUAAGUGCUUAUAUUAGUUGGCCCUUAAAUUUUACGUUAUCUUCCUUGAAAAAGCUGGAAAGUUAUUUGUGGAGGUUGCUGGUGCAGUAGUGGAUAUAAGCUUAUGAAUGAAAUUUGAUUGUAACCUUGAAUGAUCCUCUGAAUGUUUUUCCUGCUUAACUAUGUCUUGAUAAGUUUUUAAAGCAACCUUGUGUAUCAUUUGCUUCAGAUUCGGAUCACCCGCACCUACAAAACAUCUGAUGUCCAGUAAGAAAGCUUAUCUGUAGAUUGGACUCUAAAGUUGCAUUGUGGACAUCACACGCUGGGAUAAUAUUAGACUGUUGGCUUUGGAUAUGGUUCUACACUUGUGCAUAGCAGAUAUACGAAAGAACGUUUCUUGCAGUGGUGAGAUGGGCUUGCGCUUCACUGUACAUAUGUUAGGUUGUACAGUAAGCUUCUUUACUAAUUUAAGAUAGAUACGAGCCUCCUAUACCAUGUAUUUUUCUAAACUAUUUAGAUUAGUUAGAAGAAAAUUUGUUGCAGGUUGCUGUAAUUAUAAAGUGUUGAUGUUGCUGAAUUUUGUUAACUUGAUUGUUCUGUUCUAUGUAGUUUGUGAAAUAAGGAUAGUCCAGGUUCCUGCAAGCCGGUCUGGACACUGCAUUUUUACGGUCUGGACACUACUUUGCGGUAUGUGCUGAAAUUGUAGUUUUUCGUCGUUCCAAUUAAAUGUCCGAACCUUUACUUCAUCUUCCUGUUGCACCUCUCUGUUACUGUAGUUUCUCCUUGCCGUAUAUCCAGUUUUAUGUGACCUGCAUAGGUUCAAAGUUCUAACUGCGCUAGAAAGAUAGCAUGCCACCAUUUGGAAACUGAAAUCAUAUUUUUUUAGCUCAUUGCAAGGGCAAAAUGUGUGGAAAGGCGAAUGGAAAAGAAAAAGAAACAUAAAUACAGUACUAAUUGUCUACCCCAAAUUAGAUGAUACAUAAAAUGAGUUCUUUUUCAUUAUACGAUACAAUGAGAACAUGCAACCAGGUGCCAUAACACAUAGUUGGGGUUUAAUUUGACACACCUAAGGUGUAUGACAAUUAUUCAGAUGAUGAUGAUGAGAAAAGAUAUAGCAGGAGAAUUAUGUAAAUUAUUCUAUGCCACUGGACUUGGGGACCUCAGAUCUCUCCAUCCCAAAUUUCAUCCACAGAUUUGUAAGGCCCGUUUGGAUGAAUAAACAUCUCUCCAUUAUAUCCCUUUCUCUGUGGUAUGUCUCGAAUCCUGAUUUUAUCUUCAGUGCUAAGUUCCCAAUCAAAUACUUCAAGGUUUUGUUUCAUCCUCUCCUUGUUAAAGCUCUUUACUAUCACACUUGCCCCUUGCUCAUAUAUCCAUCUUAAUGCCACCUACCAAUAUUUGCAACUUCAGUUUCCUCAUCAAAAGUACAUAAAAUAAAUCACGGUAAGACAAAAAAAUUCUUCUUAUAUUAGGGAGGGCAUGUGCUUUGAAGAAAUAUAUAUGGAAUUCCAAAUGAAAAAAUCAUGGAAUUUAUGAUGCAAUAUUAUAUACACUGGAACUUCCGCAAUAAAUGCAAAUCCUGGUAUCAUUUGAGAAAACAAACUUUUGUUGCACCCCAAAAAUGAAAAAUAGCUUGGUAAUGUAAGAAUUAGAACAAGACAAGUUUAUCUAUAAACUUAUAAACUAAAAUAUGCUAAUAAUUGAAAAGUUCUUUAUAUCAUUUGUGCAUAUGAGUUGAAUCCAUUAUUCAUUAAUCACUACAAGGAUUAGGAAAAAAACCUGAGGGAUGGUCUUUUGUUUAGAAGUUGCGAUGUCAUUGAUUAUUGGGCUAUUCCAAGAGGCACCAUUGGAUCCCAAUGGAGAGUAUGCGCUUACAUGAACACCUUUCUCUUUACAAAACUCUAGCAGUUUUUGUUGCUGCCAUGCCACAUUCAUUUCUACCUGAAAUGAAAAAAGCAAGAAAAAAACAUAUAGUGACUUCUAUAGUUAAGAGUUCAGAUAAUGUAGGAACAUGGAUAAAUUUAGAAGUUCAGAUAAUAUAGUCAUACUAACCUGAUUAACUGCCGGAGGAAUGGUAGCAAUUUGAAGGAGCUGUGAGAGCUUUGUGCAACUGAAAUUGCUGACUCCAAUAGACUUGGCUAGGCCCAAAUUACAGCACUCCUCCAUGGCUUUCCAUACCCCUUUCAUAUCAAAAGGGACAACGUCUUCCUUUUUGAAAUUGAAGAAAUCAACCGGCCCGGGUUUCAUGCUUAUCGGCCAGUGUAUUAGAUACAAGUCCGCGAAAUCUAGCCCCAAUUUCCUGCAUAUAUAAACUCAUAUAAGGUUAAACCAUAAAGUACUACAUAAGAGUUUGAGAAGGUCAAGAGUAAAUAAAAAGGGGGCUGAGAUGGCCUUAGAUUCGAAAGUCAUGUCAGAGAUUACUAGACGUCUAGGAGAGACUUUCAACAAGGAUGUCGAGACAUAAACAAUGCAUGCAAUUGCACCUCCUCAAAUCUUCAAGGGGAGUACUAUAAACAAUGGAUUCUCCUCUGUGUUUGUUGUUAAGAGAUGGAGAUCAAUAAUUUCGAGUUUACGAGUUUCCGGAGCUGACUAGAAGUCUAUGUACAGUUUUUGUCAAGUCCUGUAGCUUUAGUUCAAAUCCUAUAUUUGUAUUACGAAAUCACUAAAUAUGUAGACAAAUUAAAUUCAGAACCUAAUUAUUAGUACCUUAAGAAUCCAUGAUGUUCAAAAUUGGCUUAGCUGACUCAUGAUUUAUGAAUUCUAGAAAUUGUAGCCUUACUGAGUUCUAGAUAAAUUUAUACAUAUUCGUUAGAUUUAUUAACACGUACAAGGUCCUGAUCAAAGUUAGUAAGUUUUGUUGAACCUACAACUAGAACUGAUCUAGCUCAUGUUGUUAAUCUAUUGAAAAAAAAACACAAAUGAAAGCAUAGUACUAUUAGUACCCAAGUGUGCUUUUGAGGGCAGGAAGGACAAGUUGAGGGUGGGCAUCGUUGCACCAUAACUUAGACGUAAUGAACACUUCUUGUCGACUCUUUAUAAUGCCCCGUUCGAUUGCUUCCGCCACUGCCCUGCCAAGUGCCUCCUCCGAGUCAUAAAGCGCGGCAGUAUCAAAAUGUCGAUAUCCUGUCUCAAUGGCGUCAACCAAAAUAGAUGUGAACUCAUCUGUCCGCGGGAUGGGAUACGUUGCAGUUCCCAUGCCUAACACAGGCAUCUUGUAGCCUGAGUUCAGUACAAUUUCUGGUACGUGCACUACUUCCAUCAUCUACAAAAUCGCGAUGCUAAAAAUCCAACAAUUCUGAAGAAAUCACACUUACGAUUGUGUUUAAAAACAGAGAAGCAGUGAAGGAAGUUGUGAAGAUCUUGUUGAUGAUCCUUGUUGAGUUUCCAAAUGUGUAAAGACUAAUUUGAAAUGAGAACAUAUAUGUGACACUAUUAAUGCCACGACUCUUUUAAAGGUCAAACUUAAUGAAUAUAACAAGCAAAAUGCAUGGAACAAACUGAAAGAAGAAAAUUGUCACAUUCAUUAAGAAAAUAUUAAUAAAAUAAUAUUUUAUAAAAUUAAUUUUAUUAAUAAUUUUUUGACAUUUUAAAUCUAACUAUUACCAUUUCUUUAAUUGUCUAAUAACAGGCUAAUAUGAAAAUGAAGUAAUAAAAAUAUUCUUAAUUUAUGAAAAAAAAUAAAUUUAAACAAAUAUUUUUAGAAAUAAAAUCACAUCAUACUUUGCCAUUUGCUAUCACUUUUUCUUUCAUUCACAUUUACCAUCAUCAGGUGGAGGUGGUACGGAGUGAGAAAGGAUCAAUUGGGGAGGGUGUGAUGGCAAAUGGUAGGGUCACCACUAUAUAUGUCAAAGAUGGAUAGCUUCACACAAAUAUGACGUGGUGCUUCUCUCCCACCGAUAAAAAAUAUUAAUUUGUUAUAUACAUCGAAAUGCAUAUAAAUUUUUACCCCUCUAAUCCACUAGCUGAUUUAAAGUAUUUGUUAUUUUAAAAAAUCAAAAUAUAAUGGAUUAUUUGUUUCUAUUUUUAUCUUUACUCAAUAAAUGCACGGAGAGAGAGAUUAAUGUCUUGAAAAGGAAAGUAAUUUAAAAUUAUUUUUCAUAAGUUAAUUUAACUAAGUUUCAAAUUAAAAUUAUAUUAAAUUAAUUUAAUUUUUUAAAAUUAUAUUUAAAUAUUUAAAAACAAUGUGAAAAAUAUUUUAACUUGUAUUUUUUUUUUCAAAUUAAUUAAGAAAUAUAUCUUAAAAUAUUAAUUAAAAUUUGUACCGUUUGACUUUAAAAAUAGAAAAAGAGCAAUUAAAGAAAAAGGAAAUUAUGAAAGAGUAAAUAAGAGCAAUUUAGUCGAAAUUAUCCUUUUAGCUAAAAUGUUUUCUCAAGAAAGGUCCAAAAGAAAAACAUGAGAAAUAAAAAAUAAAAAGAAGCAGAGGGAGUAAAAGUAUACAAGGUGUAAAUGAAGAGACGUGAUGAAUGCUACUACUACUUUAGUUUGUAGAAUUCAAUCACAUUUUUCGUUUGAUUUUCUGUUUCUUCUUGUAUUUUGUGACGGCAUAAGAGACGUGAGAGACGCUAUCUCUAAUUCGGUCACGUCGAUGAAUCUCCCCACACACUUUUCUUCGAAUAUUUGUUUUGGUUAUUAUGUCAUAAAGGUAUCGCCAAACGCAUCGAUAUAUCCUUCAACUUGAUAUUAUUUUUCACUUUAACAUCUUAAAUAAAUGUUGUUUACUUUUGAUACCUUAAUUAAUCAUAAACUGUAUCAUUUUAACACCUUUUGCUGAUUCAGCAAAUAGAUUCGCUUUUGAGCGCGUGUCAUUUUAACACCUUUUUCUUUACGCCAUUUUGAUCUAACUAAUUAAUCAAUAAAUCAUUUAUUCAAGCGAUUGAGUUGAUUUAGUUAGUACUUCUAAAUUUAUUUUGUAAGGUGUAUGUAAAUAAAGGGAAAAAAAUGCUAGACAUUUUGAGCUAAUAGUACCGCUAUUUUCUUUUGUUGAUUAAUUUUAUAAUCGAACACAGACCUCCUUCUCCUCCAUUUUUUGAUUAAGUUGAUUAUAACAAAAUAAAAUGUUGUUUUUAACAUUUUAAAAUGCAAAAAUGGUUGCACCCCAAAAAUGGUUUUGUUAGAAUCGUUGGUAUAAGAUACGUAUCAUUGGAGGCUUGAUCAGGCUUUACCUGACCAACUACCUAAUACUUUACGGACUCAUCAAAACAAUGUUUUUUCUUAGCUUUCAUCAGGACUUGACAAGUUUAAACCGGUACCAUGUUAAAGAUUAGAAAGAGAAGCAUGAUACAUUGAUAAUAUGAGGGACUUCAUAUUAUCAAAAUCAAAAAGAUAAUUGCAAGAAACCAUUACGUUCAUGGAAAAUGAGAUUGGUAAUGUAAGAAUUAAAACAAGACUAAGUUUAUACUUUAUCUAUUACUUAUAAAUCCAUUAUUCAUUAAUCACUACCAAGGAUUAGGAAAAAGACCUGAGGGCUGGUUCUUUGUUUAGAAGUUGCGAUGUCAUUGAUGAUUGGGCUAUUCCAAGAGGCACCAUUGGAUCCCAAUGGAGAGUAUGCGCUUACAUGAACACCUUUCUCUUUACAAAACUCUAGCAGUUUUUGUUGCUGCCAUGCCACAUUCAUUUCUACCUGAAACGAAAAAAGCAAGAAAAAAACAUAUAGUGACUUCUAUAGUUAGAGUUCAGAUAAUGUAGGAACAUGGAUAAAUUUAGAAGUUCAGAUGAUAUAGUCAUACUAACUUGAUUAACUGCCGGAGGAAUGGUAGCAAUUUGAAGGAGCUGUGAGAGCUUUGUGCAACUGAAAUUGCUGACUCCAUAGACUUAGCCAGACCUAACUUGCAGCACACACUACCAGAAAUUAGAUCUAUGGUGACGGUUGCAAAACCGUUGCCAUAGACCUAUCGCAACGGUUCGGCAAGAGUCCCAUAGGCGGGCGUUGCGAGUUGCGAUAGGUCUAUUGCAACGGUUUCUGCGACGGUUGUCUAAACCGUCGCCAUAGGUCGAGCUAUGGUGACGGUUUCUGACAACCGUCGCCAUAGAUGGACCUAUUGCGACGGUUAUUUUUUGACUUAUUGAGACGCCUAUUUGCAUCUAUUGCAACGGUUACGAACCAUUGCAGUAGCAUCUAUUCCGACGCUUUUGUUAUUCUGUUGCAACGCUUUUUGACUACCUAUUACAACUAUUUCAUUACUUAUUGGAACGCCUAUUUUCAUCUAUUGCAACAGUUGCGAACCGUUGCAAUAGAUUCUAUGGCAACGACAUUGAACCGUUGCAAUAGCAUCUAUUGCGACAACAUUAAACCGUUGCAAUAGCAUCUAUUGCGAUGCUUUUGUUAUUUUGUUGCAACGCUUUUUGACUACCUAUUGCAAUGGUUUAUUGAUCUAUUGCAACAAUGAUUGCCACAUGUUAUUAAAUUGAAACGAUUUAUAUAAAUAGUCGUAUUAAUAUAAAUUUUUAUUUACAUACAUAAUAAAUUAUAACACAAUAUAUAAUCACAAAAUAAAAUCAUUUAUUAAUAAUCUCAUAAUUUAAAAUAUGCAACAAGCUAGCAAUUUAAAUUCAAAAGUAAAAUGUAAUCAAGUCCAAAUGAUUAGUUAAGUUUUUACAUACUAGCAAGUUCAAGUCGCAAUAAGUUUCAAAAAAUUCAACACAAAACUAUUGAUAUUAGAGCAUUUACCCACAACCCAAAAAUCUUCUCAAGUAAGGUCAAUGUCUUCGUCAUUUUCUUUAUCUCUUUCUUCAUUUUGGACACCUAUAAAAAGAGAAUAAAUAAUAUAAAUUAGCACUUAAAUGACAACAUAAAAAGAACUAUUCCACAACAAAAUAAGUACAUAAACCACAUAUAGUUAUUUUCUUUUUGUUAGCUAUUUUGUAAUACCACUCUGGAAUCUCCCUUUUCUAUUCUCCUUUUGUUCUUUGUUACCGAAAUUGAUGAACAAUUUGGUUAUUAGUUGCUUGUAUUGAUCAAUACAACAGUUAGUUUGUUACAGCUCCCUUCAACAGGAUCAACUACUGCCGGAAGAGAAAUACUCAAACUUAAAAGAGUGAGCAAAAACUCAGUUGGGAAGGAGUUCCAGCCUUGAGAAACACUGGGUUCACGAAAUGACCUCAGAAUUAGCAGCCAGUCCAGCCUUAACUAUAUCAAACUUAGACUCCCUAAACUUUGUAAUAACUUCAAUACUCUUCGUCAAAUUCUCUAUAGCAGUAUUAUCAUACAAUUUAGAGCCAUGUCCAGGCAUUCCAACAGCCUUAAUCACCAUAUGCCAAGGUGUCCUAUCAGCAUAGAACACUCUAAACUAAUUAUUAGUCGAAGCCUGUCCAUCCAUCAUAAACCCAACAUUUAACUCUUCAAAUUCUUUCAACUCCACAACCUUCUUCAUCCCAUCAAAUCCACCAACCUCUUCAUCAGGUACAUACACAAUGUGAACAUUUCUCAAAGGUACAAAAUCUAGACCAGCGCUUUGAAUCUGGAUGGCUCAUUGAAUCCGAUGUUUAAGUGAAAAUUAAUUGAUCGUUACUUCAGACUAUAACUUAUUAGUAUCAAGAACAAGGAUCAGUAUAAGCAACACGAGUUUCUUCAUUUCUUACACUAAGAGCAUCAUGACUUUCUUUUUAUUCUUAGUACAGAACAAAAAUAACAAAAUUACAGCUAUCAGACUAUACAAGAUUUGAUACUAUAGUCUAUAGGAUACCUAUCGUUUUCAUGUUAUUUAUAUAUCGUCCUUCCCAAAGACUAUUAAUAUGGACUUGAACUUUACUACUAAAUGAGUGAGGUGAUUAUUCUCUGUAGCAGGUACAGGAGCUGCAUCAAUGCUCAAAACUAUUGGCAAGUACGCUGGACAAAAAAGGUGACGUGCUCACUCUAACCUCAAAUAACUUGUUGAGGUAGUCAACCUCAAAAUACCAGGACACAAUACAAAACUACUAAUACCAAACUAUCACCAGCUAAUUAGCAGCAGGCACACACCAAAAGCAAGAGAAGUUCUACCAACAGACUGUUACUACCAACAGAUCAAGAAAUGGAAACUGACCUUGAUUGUUACUACCAACAAAUGGAUGGUUUAUUGGUUGAUUAGAAAGCGCUUCUCCUGAUGAAUGAACAUUGAAUCCUAGCAUAUUAGGAUCAAGUGUUAAUUCUGAAUUUAGACAUGAAGUUGUGCAAUGAUAUUCAUUGUAACUUCUCGCUCAAUGACAUCUCUUUGAGCAUUCAUUCUUUAUUGCAUCCUCUCUUUUAGCUCAUCCAAUCUCUUCUCCACCAGUUCAUCAGGUUUGAAGAGGAUGCAUAAUCACUUGCUUUCUGUUUCAAAAGAGUCUUGGUAACACCGCGUCCUAGUAGUCUUACUCGACUAGGAUGAUCAGACCCCAUAACUGUUGUGAAUGUAUCAGUUGAUUGAGUACCAUCUUUACUUUCUUGAGUUUCUACUCUCUCCAUUUCAACCUACACAUCGGAUUCAAGAGCAAGUAAAUUUAGUUGAUUCAAUAUUUAAGAAAACAAUGAUCUUGAUCAAUUUUGAAAUAGAAAAUUUCAUACUAUUUUGCUUGUAAUCUCUUUAGAUGUGUCCUUAUAUACUCGAUCAGAUUUCCUUCUUCUAGUAGCCAUAAAGAAUUCCUUAUUCGACAAAACACCUGAAUUUUCCUUCUUUUUUUCCUAGUUUCAUGCAAGUCAGCAUUAAAAUAUUAUCAAGUAAAUGGAACAAGUUCAUAGUAACAAUAAGAGAAAACACCACACCUCGCGGAUUAAAGCAAAACUUAUUUUGCCCAUAGUGUGCGAAUACUUAAAUGUUUUCUUGUUUUCUUUGUUAGUCUUGGAAGUAUCCUGCAAGUCAAUAUUUAUGUCGUCCUUCCCAAAAACUAUUAAUAUGGACUUGAACUUUACUACUAAAUGAGUGAGGUGAUUAUUCUCUGUAGCAGGUACAGGAGCUGCAUCAAUGCUCAAAACUAUUGGCAAGUACCCUGGACAAAAAAGGUGACGUGCUCACUCUAACCUCAAACGACUUGUUGAGGUAGUCAACCUCAAAAUACCAGGACACAAUACAAAACUACUAAUACCAAACUAUCACCAGCUAAUCAGCAGCAGGCACACACCAAAAGCAAGAGAAGUUCUACCAACAGAUUGUUACUACCAACAGAUCAAGCAAUGGAAACUGACCUUGAUUGUUACUACCAACAGAUGGAUGGUUUAUUGGUUGAUUAGAAAGCGCUUCUCCUGACGAAUGAACAUUGAAUCCUAGCAUAUUAGGAUCAAGUGUUAAUCCUGGAUUUAGACAUGAAGUUGUGCAAUGAUAUUCAUUGUAACUUCUCGCUCAAUGACAUCUCUUUGAGCAUUCAUUCUUUAUUGCAUCCUCUCUUUUAGCUCAUCCAAUCUCUUCUCCACCAGUUUAUCAGGUUUGAAGAGGAUCCAUAAUCACUUGCUUUCUGUUUCAAAAGAGUCUUGGUAACACCGCGUCCUAGUAGUCUUACUCGACCAGGAUGAUCAGACCCCAUAACUGUUGUGAAUGCAUCAAUUGAUUGAGUACCAUCUUCACUUUCUUGAUUUUCUACUCUCUCCAUUUCAACCUACACAUCGGAUUCAAGAGCAAGUAAAUUUAGUUGAUUCAAUAUUUAAGAAAACAAUGAUCUUGAUCAAUUUUGAAAUAGAAAAUUUCAUACUAUUUUGCUUGUAAUCUCUUCAGAUGUGUCCUUAUAUACUCGAUCAGAUUUCCUUCUUCUAGUAGCCAUAAAGAAUUCCUUAUUCGACAAAACACCUGAAUUUUCCUUCUUUUUUUCCUAGUUUCAUGUAAGUCAGCAUUAAAAUAUUAUCAAGUAAAUGCAACAAGUUCAUAGUAACAAUAAGAGAAAACACCACACCUCGCGGAUUAAAGCAAAACUUAUUUUGCCCAUAGUGUGCGAAUACUUAAAUAUUUUCCUGUUUUCUUUGUUAGUCUUGGAAGUAUCCUGCAAGUCAAUAUUUAUGAGUUUUUAAUAAAAAGAUCGAGACAGUGAAGGUUUAAACACACAGAAUUUGAUGCCUUAUAUCGAAAGAAAGAACAACAUAAAAAGGAAGAGCAGGUGUGAUAAAUUCAAUAAUAAAUGCAUGCUAACAAUAAUAUAAUAGUUGUCCAUAUUGAUAUCAUACCUCAGCUUCUUCGGAAUGCCAAUACUUAAGGAGAUCCUCAAAUACAGGUUCUGGAAUAGAGGUAGGCCUUUUUGCCCUUCGAAUUUCAUCAUUGGUGUAGGCAUAAAAAUGACGGUUCUUGAGUCUGGACUUAUGACCUCUAAACGCAGCAUCAAUUGAUCUCAUUGCCCAAUUUUUUCCGUUGUUGGAAACCUCAUAUUUCUCCUAUAAUUUGGUUGAAUUGGGUUAGUGUAAAAACUGUGAAAGGCAUUCAACUAGAAAUCAAAAUACUGAGAACUUAGAACCUGAAUAUAGCUCCACAUAUCAUCGUGUGUCUUCAACUUUGUCCAACUGAGAUUAAGAGGACAAAAUUCUCCAUUCCUUGCUAAUGUGCCAAGAAAGCUGGAAAAUUCAGUGACUACUGCUUUAGUUGGACCAAUAGGCUGGUUCAACCUAUUUAGCACUAUCAAUUGACGGUCAGUUCGUCCAUGUACUGCUUGCAUUUGUGUAACGCCUCUUUUUCUUUUAUUAGUUGAAGGGCCUACAAUAAUAUCAACAACAAAAUUACUGAAAUGCAGAUAAUUUUUGAAAUAGUAUGAACUAAAAUAUAUAUAUAUAUAUAUUUUUGCCUUCUCCGGAUUGUUCAUUUGCUUGUAAAUUAGGAAGUUGUGAUUGAUCUUGUUGCACUCGUUCAACUGUGGGUUGUGAUGGACGAAUGGUGGAGUCUGGCAAUUUUUGUCGCACUUGCUCCUCUACUGGUGCUGCGAGAGAGGUGGAAUCCAGAGACACCUGUUGCACUUGUUCUGAUACUUGAGAUAUAACUGGCACCUAUUGCACUUGUUCUUACUUGAGAUAUACGUGGAAUAUUGUUUGACUUCUCCUUCUGCUUUUGAUUCUUUUUCUUUGCAUUUAUGUAGCCUGUGUUCUUCUUCUUCUUCUUCUGAAUCAGAAGUCAACGGUCUCUUCAAGAACUAAAAAGGAAUCAAAGCUACAACAAAAUCCCCAAAAAUCAGUAACAUCUACAACAAAAUCCCCAAAAAUCAGUAACAUCUAAUUCGACCAACUACCACAGGCUCUUUUGAAAGAAGAAAAAGGAAUAAGGUGAGAACUUACUGAUACAAUAAGCGUCGUUUAGUUACAGCUACAACAAAAUCCCCAAAAAUCCCAAAGAGUUACAGCAAAAUCUUCAAAAUUCGUCGUCGGCCGAUCUCCCACAGCGUUACACAGAUCUCCUUCCACAGAACCUUUAGCGAUUAGGGCAAUCCUCGAUGAAAGUCCACAGAACGUAACCUUUAAUGAUUUAGAGAAAGCGUUUGUGAUAACAAUUUAGAGAAAAAGUUUGUGAUAACGAUUUAGUGAUUUUGGAAUCGUUUAAGCUUAAGAUUUAGAGAAAAAGCUUUAUUAGAAUGUUUUUGUUUUGACGGACUUAGUAAGAUAUUUCGUGAAAGUGGAGGGAAAAAAAUAAGCGUUGCUAUAACUUAUUUUAUUUAUCUAUUGCAACGCUUUGUUAACCGUCGCCAAAAAGUUCGUUGCCAUAGGAGUAAUUUCCAAUAGUGCUCUUCCAUGGCUUUCCAUACCCCUUUCAUAUCAAAAGGGACAACGUCUUCCUUUUUGACCUUGAGGAUAUCAACCGGCCCAGGUUUCUUGCUUGUCGGCCAAUGUAUUACAUACAAGUCCACGAAAUCUAGCCCCAAUUUCCUGCGUAAUCUCAUAUAUGGUUAAACCAUAAAGUACCUACUAUAUAAGAGUUUGAGAAGGCCAAGAGUAAAUAAAAAUUGUGGUGAGACGAUAGCCUCAGCUUCGAAAAUCAAGUUAGAGAUUACUAGACGUGUAGGAGACUUUCAUCAAGGAUGUCGAAGCAUAGAAAUGCAUGCAAUUACACCUCCUCAAAUCUUCAAUGAGUACUAUAAACAAUGGAUUCUCCUCUGUGUUUGUUGCUAAGAGAUGGAGAUCAAUAAUUUCUAGUUUAUGAGUUUUAGGAGCUGAGCUAGAAGUCGAUGUACAGGUUUGGUCAAGCCCUGCAUAGUUCAAAUCCUGUAUUUGUAACAAGUAGACAAAUAAUUCAGAAAUAUGCAGAUAAAUUAAAUUCAAAACCUAAUAAUUAACUUAAAUUAAGUACCUUAAGAAUCCAUGAAGUUUAAAACUGGCUUAGCUGACUCUCAUGAUUUAUGAUUUCUAGAAAAGGUAGCUUUACUGAGUUCUAGAUGACUUUAUAUAUUUUCAGUAGAUUUAUUAAUGCAAAUACAAAAUAAAUUUUUGAUCAGAGUUGGUUAGUUCUGUAGAAUCUGCAACUAAAACUGAUCUAGCUCCUGUUGUUAACGUUGAGCUACAACUGGAGCUAGGCUGUCAUAACAAUUUAAAAAGGAAAAAAAAUCAUAAUCUAUUGAAACAAAAAUGAAAAUAUAGUAUUAUUAGUACCCAAGUGUGUUUUUGAGGGCAGGGAGAACAAUUUGAGGGUGGGCAUCGUUGCACCAUAACUUAGAAGUAAUGAACACUUGUUGUCGAUUCUUUAUAUGCCCCGUUCUAUUGCUUCCGCCACUGCCCUGCCAAGUGCCUCCUCUGAGCCAUAAAGCGCGGCAGUGUCAAAAUGGCGGUAUCCUGCCUCAAUGGCGUCAACCAAAAUAGAUGGUAACUCAUCUAGCCGCGGCAUGGGAUACGUCGCAGUUCCCAUGCCUAACACAGGCAUCUUGUAGCCUGAGUUCAGUACAACUUCCGGUACGUGUACUACUUCCUCCAUCUAUAAAAUCGCGAUGCUAAUAGUCCACAAUUAUGAAGAAAUUACGCUUAUAAUUUGUUAUGAAAACAGUAGUAGUGAAGAUCUUAUUGAUGAUCGUUGUUGAGUUUCCAAAUGUGUAAAGACUAAUUUGAAAUGAGAACAUAUAUGUGACACUAUUAAUGCCACGACUCUUUUAAGGGUCAAACUUAAUGAAUAUAUAGCAAACAAAAUACAUGGAACAAACUAAAAGAAGAAUACGUUACUCCCUUCCUUUCAUUUUAUUUGACCUUAAUUUGACACUCUUUUAAUGGUCAAACUUAAUAAAUAUGGCAAAGAGAAUAUAUAGAACAAAUUAAAAGAAGAAAAAGUUACUCCCUUCCUUCCAUUUUAUUUCACCUUAAUUUGGCCCUCUUUUAAUGAUCAAACUUAAUAAAUAUAACAAACAAAACACAUUGAACAAACUAAAAGAAGAAAAAGUUACUCCCUUCCUUCCAUUUUAUUUGAUCCUUCUUAAUUUGACACAUUUAUUAAGAAAAUACUAAUAAAAGCAUAUUUUUAUAAAAUUAAUUUUAUUAAUAACUUUUUAACAUUUUAAAUCUUAGUUAUUUAAUAUCGAGGAUAAUAUAAAAGAAAAAUAAUAACAGUCUUUAAUUUUGGGAAAUAACAAAUUUGAAAGGCUAAAUACAUAUACAGACCCCUCAGCUAUUCGACUUUUCCCGCUUAGGCACCUCAAUUAGGCCAAGUACCUAUUGAACACUUACUUCUUCACAAAAACGUUUCAAUUGAGCACAAUUGCUGACGUGACGCUGACAUAUCGUGACAUGUGAAAUACACUCUCCUACUAGAGAGUGUGAAGCCAUAAUUAAUUGUAAUUUCAUUUUUAAAAUUUUUUUUUUUCCAUAUCAGCAACAAUAUAAUUUUCCAUUACAUUGAACCUUUUUUAAUUUCUUUAAAAUUAUAUUGUAGUUUUUCCAUUUCAAAAUUAAAAAAUUACAUUCAAUUUCAAAAUUAAAAAAAUUAUAUUGAACACCUUAUUUAAUUUCCAUUAAAAUUACAUUUUUUUUAUUUUUUUAUUUUACAAAGCAAAUUCAUCAUUGCAACAUUAAAAUUACAUUGUAAUUUCUUUAAGAAGCCAUAAACUGAAAUUACAUUGAACUUUUUUUUUUUCAAUUUCGUUUUUCCAACACUGCAACAAAUGAGCCAUAAACUGAAAUUACAUUGAACAUUUUUUUUUUCAACAAGUUUCUUAAAAAAAAUNNNNNNNNNNNNAAAGAGUGUUUGGAAGUGCAACAUCAAAACAGUGCAACACUGAAAUUACAUAAACGAUUUUUUUUUUUCAAUUUCUUUUUUCCAACACUGCAACAAAUGAGUUUUUUUGCCGGAAAAAUAAUGUACGAACACUGCAACACCAUCAACUGUAGACACGUAAUUUUGUCCCCCUUAAAAAUUCGUUUUUAUUCAUUUCUACCUUAGCAUAUUAUGUACCCUCCCCACGUGAUUACACCCCACAAAAAAUACAAAAAAAUAACUCUCAACAAAAUCCCUAACAAACUUUUAUUCUUUUAACACCCUAACAACCCUCUCCAAUAAAAAAAAAUAAUAAAUCACCAUCUCACCACCUCAUAUCCUACUCCUUACCCCUACCCCACGUCACACCCCCCUCUCUUUUUUUCUUAUUCAAAAAGAAAGGACUCAAAAUACAAUAUAUACAUACCCACAUACACAAAAAAAAAAGAAAACAAAAAAAAAUGGAUGAACAGUAAAGUCAUCAGCUUUUUCUCUCUCUACACUCUACUCUCUACUCUCUCUCUCCAAAAACUGAAAAGAAAAAGGCCUCCGUUCGCCGCCUCUCCGUCGUCACCGUCAGCCGUCCAUCGGUCACCUCUCCAACUUCCGAUCUCUCUUCUCUCUCCGGCAAAGCUGCCGUCCGUCAACCCUCCCUCCGUUCGCCGGCGAAACAGUCACUGCAGGCGAACACCGUUCGCCGGCCAGGGACCCAAACCGACCGCCGCCUUCUCUCGGAUGUGAUCUCUCUUCUCCUCCGGCGAACUAGCGUCGGCCGUGAUCUCUCUUCUUCUCCGCCUUCCAGAUCUGUCUCGUCACCGCCUAGAUCUGCCGCCGCCGUCACCAACAAAACCCCCAUCGUCGCCGGAGAAGAAAGCCAAGUCAGCUGCUGCUCCGCCGCCAGUAGUCGCUGCUCCAGCCGCGGCGCGUCGGCCAGCUCCGACCGCAGCUCGUCCCUUCGACUCCGACGAGAUUUUGCGUAUGGGUCUUCUCGAUUUUUCAUAAUUUCAGUCUCGGUUCAUCUGGUAUUUCUUAUUUCUUCGUGCAAGGAUAGUUGAAAAUCAUUGAUUUGGGGUUUCGAAUUUGAGAUCUUGGUUUGUUUAUGAGUUUUAUUCGGGCUUAUGGAUUAUUCAUCGUGAGAUUUUGUCAUGGUUUUCCGAUCUGUCCGGUUGAAUUCAAUAUCGAGUUUGGAGUUGUUCGUUGUGAGGUUCUCCGAUCGAGUAUUUUGGUUUUCGAAUUUCUUUAUUAUCGACAAGGAUUAGUUUCAUCGAGGUCCAUUUCUUCUAACCGAAUCUUUAAUUUAUUUUGACUUGUUAUUGAUGUUGUGGGUAUGGAUGAUUUAUUUGUUUGUGUUCGGUUUGAAUCUUCGUUGUUUGUGUUGUGUUUGAUGUUGGUUUCGGAUUAUAAGAUGUGGUUGGAAAAUCGAAGCAUGCACUAAUCAUGUGGUUUAAAGGGGAUUUAGGGCACGAGUUAAAAAUUAUUAAAGUGAAUUAGGAUUAAUUUUGAUUUGUGGUUGUUUUGAUUCGUCGUUAUUGUUACUUUCACGUCUAAUUAUCAAUUUUGUGAUAGUAUCAUGAUAAGUCAAGCGGGUAGGCAAUCGAAGGUUCGGGUAGGCAAAAUUUAGGAAUAAGUGUUUCGUUGGAUGUUGGAAUGUGCGUGUGAAUGUUUCUUUCUAGUUUAUCGUGUUUUAUUUAGAUGUAUUUAUUUAGCCGGGGAAUGCCUCGAGAUCACUUGUAUUUAUUCACCGGGGAAUGUCCCGACGUAUCAUGUUGGAGGAAAAUGAUCGUGAUAAAGGCCCGCGGCGUCGGAUAAGGCAUUGGAGCUUAGUCUAGAUUAGUUUAGGCUAGGAUUUAUAUUUUUGUAUUUUUUUAUUUUUCGGACUGUAUAAUUGGACUGGACUUUACAUUUUUGGACUUUUUGUUUUGUUUAUUGUUUGAUUAUUUUGCGUUCUUUUGUGUGGUUUAUACAUUUCAUAAUGUCAAAAAUAGUCGAUACACUCUACCAAGUGACCGUGGUUGAACCACGGGAUCGAGGGGGGCCUAACACUUUCCCCUCGGUCAACAGAAUUCCUUAGCCGGAAUCUCUGUCCGCAAACUAGUUUAAGAGUCAAAUGGUUUCGAAAAGGAUUUCCCAAAGGUGACUUGGCACACCGGAGUAAGCCAAGUGGCGACUCUGAAUAAAAAAUGUAAAUAAUCCUUUUUUCGAAAUAAAUUUUCAUUUCUUGUCACUUAAAUAAUAAAACCCUUUCGAACUUUAAAAUAUAAACGUUUUUUGGAGUAUGCGUAAAAAAGGGGUGUGACAGCUUCUGGCGACUCUGCUGGGGACCUUCUAUGACAAGUUUUCAGAAUUUGAGCUAUUUUUGGAGUCGUAUCGGCUUUGUUUGGCAUUACGAGUGUAUAAGCAUUGUUUGUGAUUUUGUUUGUGUUAUUGUUUUCACUUUUGUGCGUUUUUGUGCUCUUUGUUUAUAGUAUUUAUCCUAUGUGUCACCGCUUUAUAUCUGUCAUCAUGAGUCCACCCCCAGCCUUCUUUCUGCAACAAGUCUAUAGUACACGUGUUGUACACAACCUCUAGUUGAGUCACCCUUAUUUUAGGGGGGGAGCCGUCGGUGUUAUGGAGUAGGUGGAAAACAAAACAUCCACUAUCGACCAUACGCUCCCCCGAACGGCCUUGUUAGUAAAGCACAACGUAGGUCAGCCUUUAGGUCAUGCUUAUGUGCAUCAUACGGAGACCUAGCGGGACCCACAUUACCCUUUGUAGAAGACUCCCCUGUAAAGCAUCCCUACGUGCUAACUGUUGCAUUUUUAAGGGUAACGUGGUCAUUUGACGGACUGAUUUUGAAAAGAAAAAAAAUUGUUUGGAGUAAGGUGCGUAGGUAAAAACGAAAAAGAAAAAAAAAUAAUAGAAAAAGUGAGUCGAAAAGAAUGAAAAAAAAAAGGAGGAAUGUCGUAGUUUAUUUUAGAUUUCUUUAUGACUUUUGUUCUUCACGAUCCAAAAACUCAAAAAGAUUAUUUUUACGUUUUACAUUUGUCUUCUUAAAGUUCCGUAAAUUCAAAAAAAAAAAAAGAAAAAAAGAAAAAAAAAGAAAAAAAAAAAAGAGUUUUGUUUGUCUUUUCUACUUAAUUGUCAAAAAACAAAAAAAAAUACCAAAAAGAUUUUUCUGUAUAAUUGGCGGUGUCAGUCUUGGUUAAAGCGUGUAGUUGAAAAUCCCCCCCAAAAAAAAGUUUUAUUCGUUUAUUUUUGAUUGUGUCUCUUAAGUUAGGAUCAAUUUGUUAGUUAAUCGUUAAUUGUUCAAUCUGACGAACUACGCACCCCUGAUUCUCCUCUUUCGGGAGUGAGAUACGUAGGCAGCCUAUUGUUGGUUCGGGGAUCUUAUUUGAAAAAAUCAAAAAAAAAUAUUUCUUCACUCUCCAUUUAGAGUAGGCGUUUCAUAUACGUCUUUAAAAGAAAACUACAAAAAGAUUUUUCUUUAAUAGGUUUAAGUUUCCUUUUCAUAGGAAAUUCAAAAUUGAAAACCCCAAAAGAUUUUUCUUUGGUAAUCAUAGGUUUCGUUUUGUAUAGGUAUUUUAAAAGUAAAAAAAUGCAAAAGAUGUUCGUCAAUUAUUUUGACAAAUUGUUAUUUUUCUUUUCUUCUUAAAGUUUCAAAAUAAAAAAAAAGUUUAAUUGGCCAUUUUGGCAAAACUGCCCGAACUACGCAAGAUCUGAUUCAUGUACACAUGAUACGUAGGCAACCAACUUUUGGGUUCAAUCUAAUCAUUUUGUUUUGUUGUUUUUCAUUAUUUUCCUCUUUUAAAGAAAAACAAAAGCCAUAAAGAAUGAUAAAAUAAAGGUAGAUAACGAGAGAAAAGAAAAGAGCAGGGAUUGAUACGAAAAAAAAAGAGAAGAAAAAAAAAGAGAGAGGAAAAAAAAAUAAUAAUAAGUGUAGAUAAAAAAUAGUGUAGACAAAAAUCAGGAUGAUGUUAAAAUGAUCUCGCUACCCUCAAAAGUUGGUAGAAAUGAGCAUGAAUUUAGGAUAAUUUUACCAAUGUGAUUCCCAUGAUUGUUGUGUGCCCUAAUCCUAAUGGAUGUCGUCUUUGAUGAGCGUGUUCUUUCAGAUAACAAUGGUAGGUUUGCAGCACUCUGGCUAGUCACCCAUACUUCAUCAGAUCCAAAGCAAAGCUCGCCAUGGCUAGCAGAGAGAUUGGAAAUUCGCUCAUUGACCCAGAUCAGGAUCACAGGGAAGAAAGUUCUGAACACAAUGAUGAGGUAGUAAGGCUCAGGCAACAAUUGAUAGAUUUACACCGGGCAUGGGCCAGCGGAAUGCCUCCUCCUCCGCUCCCUNNNNNNNNNNNNNNNNNNNNNNNNNNNNNNNNNNNNNNNNNNNNNNNNNNNNNNNNNNNNNNNNNNNNNNNNNCACUCCGCAACAUUAUUAUCCUGGCAGUUCUAGUGUGCCCUUGGCAGCUCCCCAAUCGAGACCCGCUGCUCAGUCAGCGCCACCGAUCACACCGGUAUUCGUGGCUCCGCCACCAUAUGAAACUCCCAUAUAUGCUGCGCGUCCACAAUGAGGCUUCCUAGGUCUUCCAGUGAGCCAGUACUGAAGGUUUCAUAUGGUCAGUAUUAUGCCCCGAAGUCUACCUUGCAAAUGAAUGAACCGUAUGGGUACACUCAGCCGCCUACAUUUCCAUUUGAUACAGAGAAACCUGUCGCAGCAGAGGAACAUGAUAUCAUAGCCCAGAAACUGAAGAGUUUAGAGCAGGCUAUGAGAAAUCUGCAAGGGAUCGAAGAUUACAGGAGUGUUUCUUAUAAAGAUCUGUGCAUGUUCCUAGACAUCAAUCUUUCCCCCGAUUUUAAGAUACCUAAGUUCGAGAAGUAUGCAGGACACGGCGAUCCCGUGGCACAAUUAAGACGUUAUUGCAACCAGUUGAGGGCUGCAGGAGGAAAGGAAGAACUGCUCAUGGCUUUCUUUGGCGAGAGUCUUUCAGAUCUGGCCUCAGAAUGGUUUAUCGAUCGAGAUAUCGAUAAAUGGACCAGCUGGGAUGAUUUGGCCUCUGAAUUUGUUCAACAUUUUUUGUACAACAUUGACCUGAUUUCGGACGAAAAAUCUUUGGUCAACAUGAAGAAGAAGAGCACUGAAGGUUUUAGGGAAUACGCGAUAAGGUGCCGUGAACAGGCCGCCAGGGUAAAGCCUCCAAUGAAAGAAAGUAAGUUGGUAGAAGUUUUCAUUCAGGCGCAGGAUGAGACCUAUUUUCAACAUUUACUUCCGACAAUGGGAAAGUCUUUUUUGGAAGUCCUCAAAAUGGGGAGAUGAUAGAGGAUGGAAUUAAGACCGGCCGAAUAGUGAGUUUUGCCGUAUUAAAAGCCACCACACAAGCGAUUCAAGGUGGAUCUGGUGCAUUUGGAGGAAGAAAGAAGAAAGAGGACGUGGCGACUGUCAUAGCUGGAACCCAUUCCUAUCCCAAAAGACCACCUCGCCCCUAUUCCUAAUCCCAAGCCCAAGUCUACACCCAAGCUCCAUAUAUUUCUCCUCACCAUUACUACCCUCCACAAAACCCUUUAUAUUACAUUCCACCACCACCUUACCCAGUAUAUAGCGCGCAGCCAUAUGCCCAAACCCCUUCUUACCCGCAAUGGCGCGCGCAAGCUCCACAAAAUCGUCCAUUCGCUCCACCAAAUUACCCAAACCCCUCCAGAACCAGUUUUCAGCCUAGGCCCGAGUAUAAGAAGGAGAAGGCGGUCAAAAAUCAAUUCACACCUCUUAGGGAGUCGUAUGCUAGCUUGUUUGAUAGGUUGAUAAAGUUGAAGGUUUUAAGCCCAAUUCAAGGAAGGCUUUCAAAUCCACCGCCGAGGAAUCUCAAUUAUUCUUUAAGGUGUGCGUAUUGUUCUGAUAUGCCAGGCCAUGAUAUCGAGAAAUGCUGGUAUUUAAAGAGNNNNNNNNNNNNNNNNNNNNNNNNNNNNNNNNNNNNNNNNNNNNNNNNNNNNNNNNNNNNNNNNNNNNNNNNNNNNNNNNNNNNNNNNNNNNNNNNNNNNNNNNNNNNNNNNNNNNNNNNNNNNNNNNNNNNNNNNNNNNNNNNNNNNNNUACACACCACUGAAGAGAAAUCGGUGAAUAUAGCGGAGUCUUUGAAAGCAAUGUCAUUGAACCAGAAAGGAAUGAGAGAAGAUAAAGCCCAAGAAAGCACAAAGAAACCCCUGAUCACAGUACACGGCGCCAGAAGGCACGUUGAUUCAAGUCAGGAUAAACCCAAGUUGACAGUGGUGGGAGCUCUGAGUCAGCCCAUCUUGACGGUGAAAGGAGCACUGGCAGCACCUAUUAUCCUCAAACCGGUGACCCAACCUUUAGUUGAUACGAAAAGGAUUCCUUGGAACUAUGGGCGGAAUGUGAUGACCUAUUAUGGGAAAGAAGUUGUGGAAGAUGUAGAUGAGGUAGGAGGUUUGACUAGGUCAGGAAGAUGCUUCGUGCCUGAAAGCUGAAAAAAGUCCCAGCCAACGAUGAGUGGACCGUCACCUAUCAAAAAGCCUAUUACCGAAGAAGAAGCCGAAGAAUUUUUGAAAAAGAUGAAAUUGCCAGAGUAUUCAAUAUUAGACCAGUGGAAGAAAACCCCUGCUCAAAUUUUUCUUUUAUCUUUGCUCUUGCACUCCAAGGAGCAUUGUGAUGUUUUAUUGAAGGUGUUAAAUGAAGCAUAUGUCCCGAGGGAGAUUACAAUCAACCAACUUAAGAAAAUGGUUGGAAAAAUCUUUGAGGUCAAUCGGAUCAGCUUUUCUGAUGAUGAAUUGCCUGUUGAAGGUACAGGGCAUAACCGGGGCCUUUACAUUACAGUGAAGUGUGAAGAUUUCUACGUCACUCAUAUUAUGAUUGAUGGAGGUUCAGGUGCAAAUAUAGCAAAUAACGUAGAGGAGACAUUCGUCUAUCAGAUUUUUGAUACAGUGCCAGUGAGUCGUAUCCUUGAAUGGCAGGCUAUACCGGGUCUGCAAUUGUCUUCUGCUUCUAUCAUGAUGGUUAGUGAACUUUGGAAAUACGAAUUUGAGCCAGGAAAAGGUUUGGGAGCAUCUCUGCACGAUAUAGUUCAUCCUAUAUGUCCGAGUGAGAAUGUGGGCACGUUUGGUUUGGGAUUUGAGCCUACGGCUGAAGAUCUGAAGAAAUCCAAGGGAAGGAAAAAUGAAACAUGGUCACUCCCUCGCCCAAUGCCACUACUCAGUGAAUCAUUUGUUAAGAGCGGUAUCACGAAGCAUGUGGAAUUUGAGGUUGAAUUGGUCGAUGACUUCCAGAGCCUUUGUAUUGAAGUUGAUAUGGUCUAAGCAGGAGAAGGUACCAGUAUGGCAGACGUACAAUUCAUAGGCCCAGCUGUCCGGCUCAAUAAUUGGGAAGUCACUUCUCUCCCCGUCAGGAGGGAGUUUUGGUAGUUUAUUUUAUUUUUCUUUCUGUUUAUUCGAGUUAUUUCAGGGUUGUAAGUAUUAAAAUUAAAGACGAAAUCAUGAAAUAACUUGAAGCCAAAGUAAUUCGAGUGGCUCGCUAUCCCAUGUGGUUGUCCAAUGUUGUUCCCGUACCAAAGAAAGAUGGCAAAAUUCGAGUGUGUGUUGAUUACCGUGAUUUGAACAGAGCCAGUCCGAAAGAUGAUUUUCCACUGCCCAACAUUCAUAUUUUGUUAUACAACUGUGCUAAAAACGAGGUUGCCUCUUUUGUGGGUUGCUAUGCCGGAUAUCACCAGAUCAUUAUGGAUGAUGAAGACGCGAAGAAGACAUCUUUUAUCACACCAUAGGGGACUUAUUGUUAUCGAGUGAUGCCAUUUGGUUUGAAGAAUGCUGGAGCAACAUACAUGAGAGCCAUGACCACUAUGUUUCAUGACAUGGUGCAUAAGGAGAUUGAAGUCUACGUGGAUGAUGUGAUUAUUAAGUUAAAAAGUUAGGCCGACCAUGUUAAUAAUUUAAGAAAGUUCUUUGAAAGGCUUCGCAGGUAUAAUCUCAAAUUCAACCCGAUAAAAUGUGUAUUUGGAGUUCCAUCUGGAAAGAUUAUCUUGCUGAGAAUCCCAUCGAUGAAGAGUACGAGCCAUUAAAGACAUAUUUUCCUGACGAAGAAGUGUCGUGUGUCGAUGAAGUCGUUAUAGAUGCUGAUUCAGGUUGGAGGUUAUUUUUUGAUGGAGCUGUCAAUAUGAAAGGAGUCGGAAUAGAUGCGGUUCUUAUCUCUGAAUCGAGACAAGAUUUUCCGGUAACAGCACAACUUCGAUUCUACCGUACUAACAAUAUGGCAGAGUAUGAAGCCUGCAUUCUUGGUUUGAGGUUAGCUGUUGAUAUGAGAGUUCAAGAAUUAUUGGUGUUGGGAGAUUCAGAUUUGCUCGUCUAUCAAAUUCAAGGUGAUUGGAAGACGCGAGAUUUGAAGCUCAUCCCGUAUCGACAAUGCUUGCAGGAGCUAUGUCAACGGUUUGUGUUAGUAAAAUUUAGGCAUAUUCUAACAAUUCAUAAUGAAAUUGCUGAUGCUUUAGCCACUUUGUCUUCAACUCUCCAACAUCCUGAUAAAGCCUACAUCGAUCCAGUGCAUAUACAGAGUCAUGAUCAGCAUGCUUGCUGUAAUGCGGUUGAAGAAGAGCUCGAUGGAGAACCUUGGUUCUUGGAUAUCAAGUGGUACAUUCAGUCAGGAGAAUACCCAGCAUAUGCCACCAACGAUCAAAAGAGGAUUAUUAGGCGUUUGGCUAGUGGAUUUUUCUUAAGUGGAGGAAUCUUGUAUAAGAGAACCCCAGAUCUCGGACUUUUGAGGUGUGUAGAUGCAAAAGAAGCCUCGGCAAUCAUGGUUGAAAUACACUNNNNNNNNNNNNNNNNNNNNNNNNNNNNNNNNNNNNNNNNNNNNNNNNNNNNNNNNNNNNNNNNNNNNNNNNNNNNNNNNNNNNNNNNNNNNNNNNNNNNNNNNNNNNNNNNNNNNNNNNNNNNNNNNNNNNNNNNNNNNNNNNNNNNNNNNNNNNNNNNNNNNNNNNNNNNNNNNNNNNNNNNNNNNNNNNNNNNNNNNNNNNNNNNNNNNNNNNNNNNNNNNNNNNNNNNNNNNNNNNNNNNNNNNNNNNNNNNNNNNNNNNNNNNNNNNNNNNNNNNNNNNNNNNNNNNNNNNNNNNNNNNNNNNNNNNNNNNNNNNNNNNNNNNNNNNNNNNNNNNNNNNNNNNNNNNNNNNNNNNNNNNNNNNNNNNNNNNNNNNNNNNNNNNNNNNNNNNNNNNNNNNNNNNNNNNNNNNNNNNNNNNNNNNNNNNNNNNNNNNNNNNNNNNNNNNNNNNNNNNNNNNNNNNNNNNNNNNNNNNNNNNNNNNNNNNNNNNNNNNNNNNNNNNNNNNNNNNNNNNNNNNNNNNNNNNNNNNNNNNNNNNNNNNNNNNNNNNNNNNNNNNNNNNNNNNNNNNNNNNNNNNNNNNNNNNNNNNNNNNNNNNNNNNNNNNNNNNNNNNNNNNNNNNNNNNNNNNNNNNNNNNNNNNNNNNNNNNNNNNNNNNNNNNNNNNNNNNNNNNNNNNNNNNNNNNNNNNNNNNNNNNNNNNNNNNNNNNNNNNNNNNNNNNNNNNNNNNNNNNNNNNNNNNNNNNNNNNNNNNNNNNNNNNNNNNNNNNNNNNNNNNNNNNNNNNNNNNNNNNNNNNNNNNNNNNNNNNNNNNNNNNNNNNNNNNNNNNNNNNNNNNNNNNNNNNNNNNNNNNNNNNNNNNNNNNNNNNNNNNNNNNNNNNNNNNNNNNNNNNNNNNNNNNNNNNNNNNNNNNNNNNNNNNNNNNNNNNNNNNNNNNNNNNNNNNNNNNNNNNNNNNNNNNNNNNNNNNNNNNNNNNNNNNNNNNNNNNNNNNNNNNNNNNNAGAUAUUGAAGGCAAAAUGGCAGAAAUGGCUAUCAAUGCUGAUGCGGUCAAAAGAUACUACGUAUGAUAUUUGAUCAUUUGUUGAUGUUAUUGCAUGUUUAGUACUUGCAUUUUGAAGAUUGAUAUGAUGAAGGCAUUUUAUUCUUCUAUCCAAACAUUGUGUCAUCCCUUGUUUACCCAUUUGAGUUUCGUUUUAUUUUUCUUUCAUGUCCCUCUUUUGGAAUAAAAAUAGAGUCAAAGAUAAAUAUCAAGAAAAUAAGAAUAAAAGGAAGAGUUCAGAAAUAAAUAAAUAAAAAAAAUAAAAAAAAAUCAAAAUCAAAUCAAAACAAAGAACAAGCUGAUGGAACUACGUCCGACCUGAUUCUCCUCUCUCGGGAGUGAGAUAGGUAGGCUGCCCUAUUUCGGGCUCGAUCCAACCAAAUAAAGAUCUAAGAUUCACCCAAUCAACAAAACUGGGGCAUGAGUUAAUGUGUUGCUUGAGUCGAUUCCAAUAGUUGUAAGUCCUACCCCUACUUCAAGUAUCGUUUGGGCCUCUUACCAUUUUUUCUAAACCUUAACCAAAAGCCAAGUUACAAACAAAGAAAGUCCUUCAGAUCAAUUUUUGAUAAUAUUAAGGCUAAGCAUGCAAUGGAUAUGAUGAUACAUUGUGAAGUACCAUUUGUCUCCCUCAGCAUGAGAAAUCAGGAAAAGAAAAUAAAAAUGAGAGAGUCUUAUUGGUGAAAACCCUCCCGGAGAGCAUAAGGCGAUGGUGAGUUGAGAGAAAAUGAAAAUGAGAGAGUCUUAUUGGUGAAAACCUUUGCAGGCACCAUAAGGCGAUGGAGAGUUGAGAGAAAAUAAAAAUGAGAGAGUUUUAUUGGUGAAAACCUUUGCAGGUACCAUAAGGCGAUGGUGAGUAGAGAGAAAUAAAAAUGAGAGAGUCUUAUUGGUGAAAACCUUUGCAGGCACCAUAAGGCGAUGGAGAGUUCAAGAGAAAAGUGAAAAAUGAGAAGAAAGAGAUUUGUUGGCGAAAGUCUUUUAAGAUGUCGUCAGUCGAAUGUGAUGUAUAAGUUCAAUGAAUUUGAAGAAGCGACUCAGCAGCAAAGGCAUGAACUCAACAACAAAUGGGGAGUUUGGAUUAGAAGAUCAUGCAAUUCAAUCCAAAAUGCAUGUCAUACUCAUUGGAGUUGGUUGUCGUAUUCAGAUAAGUUUUCUUUUUGAAUAUGGGACAUUGCCCUUUUCUUUCAUUUACGCAUUCAUGCUUUUGUCUUUUUAGAUCAUUUAUCAAAAUAACAGUCACCAUCAUUUCUUUACAUUUUGAGUCAAGUCUGUGUCAUAACAAGCGAGAAAAAAUUUCAAAAUUUACUACCAGUCUUUCCAAUUAUGUGAGGAAAAGCCAAGGAACAGAGGAAGUCUAUCAACCAACAGGCUACUGGAUUCGUAGAAAUAUUCGGAUUUGGGAAAAGAGUGCACCUCAAGGGCAUGGUAAAAUAGAAACCCAUUGUUCGAGUCAGAACUCAUUUCUCUCAAUCUGGAUCCAGGUCGAUGAUGCAGCAAGACAGGGCAGGUGUUAGCAAUUUAGAACAAAGAUGAAAGGAGUGAGUGCUGGGCAGAUACCUAAAAAGCCAAGAUCUGCAAGCCACCAUUAAGUUUUUAACUGACAAAUUUUCUUUGUUGAAACAGGGGUAAAUUUGGUUCACUUGAUUCAGCUACCAUUGGAAAUGCACAUCCGUGGGAUUUUACUUUCAAUUUAGGACCCUCUUGAAAAAUGGAAUUUUACUUUCUGUUAGGACCCUCCUGAAAAAUGGGAUUUUACUUUCUGUUCAGGACCCUCCUGAAAAAUGGGAUUUUACUUUAUGAUCAGGACCCUCCUGAAAAAUGGGAUUUUACUUUAUGUUCAGGACCCUCCUGAAAAAUGAGAUUUUACUUUAUGUUUAGGACCCUCCUGAAAAAUGGAAUUUUACUUUCUGUUCAGUGAUUUUUACUUUCAGUUCAGGACCCUCCUGAAAAAUUGGAACUUUACUUUCUGUUCAGGACCCUCCUGAAAAAUGGGACAACGCUUUCAAAAAUGAAAUACUACUUUACUAUAAUUUUGUUUGAGAUAAUUUUCUUUCUAGUUUUAAUUUUGGGUUUCAGGAGCCCGCUUGAAGAACAGGAUGAUGAAAUAACAAGUCAGGAGCCCGCCUGGAGAAUAGGGUGAAGAAACGAAAAGUCAAGCAAUAAAGUGAAGCAAUUGAAAGCCAAACAACAACAAGAAAGAAAUUGCAAGUCAGGAGCCCGUCUGAAGAAUAGGGUGAUGAAAGUCGAGUCUAGAGCCAAUAGAAGCUGUAUAGAUAGGAUUUUUGUAAUUUUCUUUAUGUUUUAACUUGUAAUUUUCAUUUUUGAUGUAAUAAUAGAGCCGCGGACCGGAACCUCGAUGGAACCUCACUCGACUCUCCAACUCGGUAUAGUCCAUUCCUCUUCCAAUCCUUUGAAAUACCCAUGACUUGAUUCUCUCAUAACUUGGUUGGGUAGGCUGUUCUAAUUCAAGACCCGAUAAUCCUUCUUCUUCUGUUUCUUCCUUUGAAUAAUGGUCGGGACAAAAUUCUGUCUCGUUGUCUACUUCUUUAUCUGAAAACACUGCGUGCUUACAUUCAAAGGGGGCAUGAUGUAGACACGUAAUUUUAUCCCCCUCAAAAGUUCAUUUUUAUUCAUUUCCACCUUAGCAUAUCAUGAACCCUCCCCCACGUGAUUACACCCCACAAAAAAUACAAAAAAAUAACUCUUAACAAAAUUCCUAACAAACUUUUAUUCUUUUAAUACCUUAACAACUCUCUCCAAUAAAAAAGUGACAAAUCACCACCUCACCACCCCAUACCCUACCCCUUACCCCUACCCCACGUCACCCCCCUCUCUUUUUUUCUUGUCCAAGAAGAAAAGACUCAAAAUACAAUAUAUACAUACCCACAUACACACAAAAGAGGAAAACAAAAAAAACGGAUGAACAGUAAAGUCAUCAGCUUUUUCUCUCUCUACACUCUACUCUCUCUCUCCAAAAACUAAAAAGAAAAAGGGCUCCGUUCGCCGCCUCUCCGUCGUCAUCGUCAGCCGUCCAUCGGUCACCGCUCCAACUCCCGAUCUCUCUCCUCUCUCCGGCAAAGCUGCCGUCCGUCAACCCUCCCUCCGUUAGCCGGCGAAACAGUCACCGCAGGCAAACACCGUUCGUCGGCUAGGGACCCGAACCGACCACCACCUUCUCUCAGUCGUGAUCUCUCUUCUCCUCCGGCGAACUAGCGCCGGCACCGCUCCGUUCUCCGCCUUCCAGAUCUGUCUCGUCACCGCCUAGAUCUGUCGCCGCCGUCACCAACAAAACCCCCAUUGCCGUCGGAGAAGAAAGCCAAGUCAGCUGCUGCUCCGCCGCCAGCAGUCGCUGCUCCGGCCGCGGCGCGUCGGCCAGCUCCAGCCGCAGCUCGUCCCUUCGACUCCGACGAGAUUUCGCGUAUGGGUCUUCUCGAUUUUUCAUAAUUUCAGUCUCGGUUCAUUUGGUAGUUUUGAAUUUGAGAUCUUGGUUUGUUUAUGAGUUUUAUUCGGGCUUAUGGAUUAUUCAUCGUGAGGUUUUGUUGUGGUUUUCCGAUCUGUCCGGUUGAAUUCAAUAUCGAGUUUGGAGUUGUUCGUUGUGAGGUUCUCCGAUCGAGUAUUUUGGUCUUUGGAUUUCUUUAUUAUCGACAAGGAUUAGUUUCAUCGAGGUCCAUUUCUUCUAACCGAAUCUUUAAUUUAUUUUGACUUGUUAUUGAUGUUGUGAGUGUGGAUGAUUUAUUACUGUGUGUUCGAUUUGAAUCUUCGUUGUUUGUGUUGUGUUUGAUGUUGGUUUCGGAUUAUGAGAUGUGAUUGGAAAAUCGAAGCAUGCACUAAUCAUGUGGUUUAAAGGGGAUUCAGGGCGCGAGUUAAAAAUUAUUAAAGUGAAUUAGGAUUAAUUUUGAUUUGUGGUUGUUUUGAUUCGUCGUUAUUGUUACUUUCACGUCUAAUUAUCAAUCUCGUGAUAGUAUCAUGAUAAGUCAAGCGGGUAGGCAAUCGUAGAUUCGGGCAGGCGAAAUUUAGGAAUAAGUGUUUCGUUGGAUGUUGGAAUGUGCGUGUGAAUGUUUCUUUCUAGUUUAUCGUGUUUAAUUCAGAUGUAUUUAUUUAGCCGGGGAAUGCUCCGAGAUCACUUGUAUUAUUCACCGGGGAAUGCCCCGACGUAUCAUGUUGGCGGAAAAUGAUCGUGAUGAAGGCCCGCGGCGUCGGAUAAGGCAUUGGAGCUUAGUCUAGAUUUAGUUUACGCUAGGAUUUAUAUUUUUGUAUUUUUCUAUUUUUCGGACUGUAUAAUUGGACUGGACUUUACGUUUUUGGACUGUUUUGUUUUGUUUAUUGUUUGAUUAUUUUGCGUUCUUUUGUGUAGUUUAUACAUUUCAUAAUGCCAAAAAUAGUCGAUAUACUCUACCAAGCUCGUGGUUGAACCACGGGAUCGAGGGGUGCCUAACACCUUCCCCUCGGUCAACAAAAUUCCUUAACCGGAAUCUCUAUCUGCAAAUCAGUUUAAGAGUCAAAUGGUUUCGAAAAGGAUUUUCCGAAGGUGACUUGGCAUACCGGAUUAUGCCAAGUGGCGACUCUGAAUAAAAAAUGUAAAUAAUCGUUUUUCCGAAACAAAUUUUCAUUUCUUGUCACUUAAAUAAUAAAAUCCUUUCGAACUUUAAAAUAUAAAUAUUUUUUGGAGUACGCGUAAAAAAGGGGUGUGACAUCAACAGUGCAACAUCAACACCACCGGAAAAAUUCUUGAUGCCAUCGCGUCAUUCCUCAAAUGUAAGAGAUCUUUUUCUUAAUUGUUGGGUGUUGUUUUGGUGGAAAAUGGAGGAGUAAAAGUGAAUUUUAAUGGUGGAAGAAUAGAGGAAGAAGAAGACAAAGAAAUGAAAUUUUCUUUUCAAAAAUGAAUUGUUAUUGUUGCUUGUUGUAUAUGAGUGUAAGUUGAAUUGGUACUUUUUUUCUUGGUUGUUGGUUGUUGUUUUGGUGUAAAAAUGAAAAUUGAAAGUGUGGUUUAAUAGUGGAAGAGUAGAGAUAAAGAAAUAAAAUUAUUUUUCUUUAUGGAGAAAGAAGUAUUUGGAAGGGAAGAAGA
Molecule: long non-coding RNA, 84315 nt
Filed under: Capsicum annuum
Lineage: Eukaryota; Viridiplantae; Streptophyta; Magnoliopsida; Solanales; Solanaceae
Description: long non-coding RNA (CANN_LNC004267)
Source: RNAcentral